ACACGGCCACCUGUUACCUCCCACUAGCACAAGGUACUUACCUCCCAUAGGUAUGAGAUAACUCUGUCCACUAAGGCUUGGGCGCAUGGAAAGCCUUGGUAUCUGUUCAGCUCUAUUUGGGAUUUAAUGCCAUUGUUACUGCUAUUUUUUCUCGACUUUUGGCAUAUCAUUCGCAUCACUGUCAUAGCUACCUGGUAACUCUGUCCACUAAUACCUAAACAAAUGGGAAUCCCCGCUAUCUAUCAGCUCUAUUUCGGAUCAAUGUCACUAGUUCAUUGUAGGACUGAGCAUAAUACACCGGACCCCACACAUUACACGAUAGCUUUGGUUCAUCCAGCUACCCUUUUUUCGUGUUACUACUGUUUGUUUCUCUUCGACUUUGGGCAUAGUAAACAAUUUCACUAGUUCAUUAUAGGACUUGAGUAUAAUACACUAGAGCCCACACAUUACAUGAAAGCUUUAGUUCAUCCAGCUACCCUUUUUUUUUUCAAAUACAAAACAAUCAUACAACUCAAUCAUAACAUAAAUAACAAUGCAAAUAACCAGAAAGGUGGAUUGAUAAGGAACAUACCAUUUUUAAAGCGCCAAGGACCCUGACUGAAGGAUUUAUACUUAGCACACUUAACCACCUUCCCAUACACCAUAACGUGUAUUCGGUCGUUCAAAAAUCAAACUAUUUUUCACUAAUACAUGUCACUGCUAAUUUUUCACUAAUUAAAUGGGUACCUCCCACCAGCAUAAUGUACAUGCUAACUCCCGCCAGAACAGUUACCUGGCAACUCUGUCCGCAAAUACUUAAACAAAUGGGAAUCCUCGCUAUCUACCAGCUCUAUUUGGGAUUAAUGUUAUUGUUACUACUGUUCGUUUCUCUUCGAGUUUGGGCAUAGUAAACAAUGUCACUAGUUCAUCCAGCCACCCCUUUUUUGCACAAACAAAACAAUCAUACAGCUCAAUAAGGGGCGAAGCUACCCUUUGGCGAGGGGUUCCAAACCCCCCUUAGGCAAAAAAUUAUACUAUUUAUACAUGGUUAAAAUACUGACUUCGCCACUCAGCUCAAUCAUAACAUAACUAGCAAUGCAAAUAAUCAUAAGGGGAAUUGACAAGGAACGUACCAUUUUCAAAACACCAGGUACACCUGGUACUUUAACUGAAGAUUUAUACUUAGCACGCUUAACCACCUUCCCACCAUCCGCCAUAACUCCCGUUUGUUCUUUCGUUUCAACAAAAAUCAAACUAUUUUUUUCACUAAUUACAUCAAAAAAAAAAAACAUAAAAAUUAAUAAAGAGUAAAUAAAUAAAUAAAUAAAUAAAUUGAAAUUAGUAUAUCCAAAAAAAAAAAAAACAAUAAUAAUAAUAAUAGAAAUUAGUACCAUUUUAUGGAAGCUAGGGUUCCGAUGGAUGAAAUUUGGGAUUUUUAUCAGGAGAGAAGGCGCCAACUGUUGUUGAGAUCAAUUACCAUCUCAAAAAAGUGUAUAUACCUUUGUUCUCACUCUAUUAUAUAUAGAGAGAGAGACUGUAUAUAUAUAGAGAGAAAGAGAGUGAUUCUCACUAAGGCUUUGUUUGGGCAUGAAAAUAAUAAUUUGAAAAAAAAAAGCUCAAAUACGCCUUCUUCUUUUUUUCCAGCCGGUGUCCGAUUAACGCAUUAGAGCCCCGACUAAUUCGGAUCGCAUUGCAGGGCCCAUUAAAGUGUCUGUAUUGGAGCUCCGAUUAAUUCAGAUCAUGUGUUGCAGGGCCCAUUAAGUUUUUCAUAUUGAAACCUCGAUUAAUUUGGAUUGCGCGUUGCAGGGCCUAUUAAUGUGGCCGCACGGAGCUCCGAUUAAUCCGGAUCGCGCAUUGCAGGGCCCAUUAAGGUGACAGCCCCGAUUAAUCCGAAUCGCUCCGAUUAAUUCAGAUCGCACGUUGCAGGGCCCAUUAAAAUGGCAGCCCCGAUUAAUCCAAAUCGCGCGUUGCAUGGCCCAUUAAGGUGUCCGUAUUGGUUCCCCGACUAAUCUGGAUCGCGCAUUGUUGGGCCUAUUAAAGUAGCAGCAUGGAGCCCCGACUAAUCCCGAUCGCGCGUUACAGGGCCCAUUAAGGUGGCAGCAUAGAGCCCCGAUUAAUCCAGAUUGCGCAUUGCAGAGUCAAUUAAGGUGGCAGUACGGAGCCCCGACUAAUCCAUAUCGCAUGUUACAAGGCCCAUUAAGGUGGCAGUCCUGACUAAUUCGGAUCACGCAUUGCUGACCCAUUAAGGUGUCCGUAUUGGAGCCCCGACUAAUCUAGAUCGCGCGUUGCAGGGCCUAUUAAGGUGGCAGCACGGAGCCCCGACUAAUCCAGAUCGUGCAUUGCUGGGCCCAUUAAGGUGGCAGCGCUCCUAACAGAGUUUUCUCCAUACCAGAGUUGAACCCUCGACCUCUGAUUAAGGGUAGAGCAACUCCAUUCACUGCACCAUAACCCAUGUUAGUGGCUCAAAUACGCUAUCAAACUAUUAAAAAUAAUUUAUUUGUCACUCUUGCAUCAUUUUCUUUAAAAGUUUGACUUUCGUUACAAAAAGAUUUAUUUGUAUCGUUAUUUUGUAACAGUGAUUUUUAUAAAGUUAUUUUAUUUUAAUCAGUAUGAUUUUUUUAUCUUGAUUUAUGUAAUAUUGGUUGAUUUAAAUUUGAUGACGUGGAUUUUAGUAAGAGGUUGUGAAAUCAUCGUUGCAAAAUAAUGACACAAAUGAACAUAUCUAUAACAGCAGUGUCAUAGAUAAGCCAAAUUUUUAAAGGCGAUGGUAUAGAUGUGCCAAACUUAUAACGGGUGAUAUAGAUGGGCCAUUUCAAUAGUUUGAUGACACAUUUGAAUUUUUUCCCUGAUAAUUUUUCGGAAUUGAAGCUGGAGUUGUUGUUGUGUUUGAUCGUGAAUUUUGUAUCUAUAUGCAUCAGGAAUCCGAUUCACUGAUUUCUUGGUUCGAGAAAUCAAAAUAAGAGGCUCGAAUCAUUUUUUUCUUACUCUUUUUCAAAUUUGAUAAAUAUUGGUUGAUCAUAUAUUUCAUUAUAGUUCUAUGAUUCAAAGUAUCCUUUCCGAUUUGAUCUUUUUGUAUUUCAUAUUAGAAGUUGCAAUCAGAUCUAUUCAUUAAAAAGAAUCGAUUCAAUACAUUUCUUACAGGUACCUGGGAGCAUACUGAUGGAAUGAAUAAAAUACGAACAGUUAACAUAAUAUGGCCAUAGAUCUUAGGUCGUAUGGGAAUCGAUUCGAGAAAAAGAACCGAUCGUAUGGAAACCCUUCAAUCAGUUAUGCAGGGAUAUCCUGUAUCGUUGAAUAAACCACCCACUCUGCAUAGAUUAGGCAUACAUGCAUUCUAACCCAUUUUAGUAGAGGGACGCGCAAAAUUAUAACUGUUUUUUCAAAUUUUGUGCGAAAAAUAAGAGUGAAGAAAAGUGAAAACAAUUUUCACCGAGUGAAAUGUUUUUUACGGCUAGACAUAAUUAUUUUUACUUUUUCUACUAAAGUAAAAUAAUUUGCGAAAAAAUUCUCAUGGUGAAACGCCUAGUAAAGUUGCUCAAUAGUUAAUUUAAUUUAGGCCUAAUACAUAGUAUUUUCUUUUAAAUUAAAUUGAUUUCAACUUGCAUUUGUGUCCGUAACUUUCGAUGUGUAUAUAUAAGUAAUUAAAUUUGUAUAAAGUUAAACAAACAGAUACAUAUAUAUGUUAUGUUGCAUAUUACGCGACUAAUUCAUAUCUUAUAUGGUGUUUUAUGUGUAUUUUGCCACAUAAAAUAUCUGUGCUUAUUUGUUCAAUUUUUUAUGAGCGAAUCGUGCCAUUUGAACUGUUCAACAACAACAACAAAACGAAUGUAUUUCCACAUAAUGGAAUCUGGGUAGGGUGAAAUAUACGCAGUCCAUACCAUUAACUCCGGAGAAGAGAGAGUCUGUUUUCGGUCGACCCCGACAUGACUUGAAAUGUUCAAUUUUAGUUAUUUCAUCUCCAAAAAGGGAUAAAAAUAGCAUUACGAUCUCGAAAUGAAUUUUCAUGCAAUUUAUUCCAGCUAAAUAUAAAAUAAGCUCAUGUAAAAAUUAAUCCCGAGAUUUGUUAUACCACCGAACCAAACGACCCCUUAAGUUCAUACCAUAUAUAUAUAUAUAUAUCUCCAAACGUUACCAAUCCAAAUUCAAACACUUUCACAUAUCGUCGCUGUCGCCGUCGGACAUCAGAAGAUUCCGGUGACCGGCGGGAAGAAUUUGGCCGGAGAAAUUUGACAUCGGAAUUCGUGCAACACUUAGAACUGAAAAUAGUUGAAGAUGAAGAUCACUGUAAUGACUACUGAUGAACAAAUCGUCACUCUCGACGUCGAUCGCGACGAAUCUGUAAUUUUAAUUGAUUAAUUGAUUAAAAUUAAUUCAUUAUUAAUUGAUUAUUGUCAUAUUUAUUAUUUGUUUUUUUUAAGCUGUAUUUGUUUAUUGGAUCUUAAAUUUUGUGUUGCUUACAUGUUUGAUACAGGUAGAGAACCUGAAAGCUCUACUGGAAGUUGAGGUGAGCUGGAAUUCUUCAUUGGUUUUGUUUUACUAUGCUUUUGUAGCUUGUUGGAAUUUUGAUAGCAGAAUUUUAUUAUGGGUGUAUUUUUAUUUUUGUGAUAAUAGAAGAAAGUUAAGUGAACAGUUAAAAGUUUCAAAUUUUGAGUAGUAAAUGAGCUUGAAAUCGUCCAAGUCAAUGAAAGUUAUAUGCAAUAAUAAUAGAAGAAACUUUAAGUUGUUAUAAUGUUAUCUGGCCUAAGCUAAGCUGGGGUCUAUUGGAAACAACUUCUCUACUUCAUUUGAGGUGGUGGUAUGGAUUGCGUACACUUUACUCUCCUCAGACCCCAUUUUGUGGGAAUACACUGGUUAUGUUGUUGUUGUUGUUGUAGAAGAAGAAGAAACUUAAGUAAACAGUUGAAAGUUUCAAACUUAGAGUAGUAAAUGAGCUUGAAAUCAUCCAAGUCAAUGAAAGCUAUAUACAAUAAUAAUAGAAGAAACUUUAAGUUGUUAUACUUUUAUCUAUCCUGAGCUGGAAACAACCUCUCUACUUCAUCUGAGGUGGUGUUAUGGAUUGUGUACACUUUACUUUCCUCAGACCCCACUUUGUGGGAAUACAUUGGGUAUGUUGUUGUUGUUUUUGUAGUUCUAUCCUUGAUAGACAUAGGUACGUGGCAUAUCUAGUGGUGUAUUACCCCAUUUGGUUGUUUGUUUUCAUGUUUUUUGUUGGUUAUACUGCUAUUUGUCCUGAGUCGGGGUCAAUCGAAAACAAUCUCUUUACUUCAUUUGAGGUAGUGGUAUGGAGUGCGUACACUUUAUCCUCUCCAAACCCCAGACCCCACUUUGUGGGAAUACACUGGUAUGUUGUUGUAGAAGGAGAAGAAACUUAAGUAAACAGUUGAAAGUUUCAAGCUUUGAGCAGUAAAUGUGCUUGAAAUCAUCCAAGUCAAUGAAAGUUGUAUACAAUGAAGUUGUUAGGUUAGGAGGUUAGUUGUAGUAGUGCGUUGUCUUGCUAUCCAUCCAUAUGUGUGAAGUUGUAUAGUAUAAUGUAGUUAAUGGAGGGGGCGUCAAACGAUUUGGAAUAUUGGAUUAUAUAUAAACUUAUCGAAAAGGACAACUCGGUGCACUAUGUGCUCGCUAUGUUAGUUGGAAUUUCGAUAGUUGAUCAAGUUUUCUUUGAUCGGAAUUUCAUUAUGGGUGUAUUUAUAUUUGUGACAAUAGUAGAAACUUUAAGUAAAAAGUUGAAAGUUUCAAACUUUGAAUAGUAAAUGAGCUUGAAAUCGUCCAAGUCAAUGAAAGUUAUAUACAAUAAUAUUGUUAGGUUAGGAGGUUAGUAGGUAGUAGUGUGUUGUCUUGCUAUCAGUCCAUACGUGUGAAAGUUGUAUGGUUUAAUGUAGUUAAUGGAGGGGUGUCAAACGAUUUGGAAUAUUGGAUUAUAUAAACUUAUAGAAAGGACAACUCGGUGCACUAUGUGCUUGCUAUGUUGGUUGGAAUUUCGAUAACAGAAUUUCAUUAUGGGUGUACUAUAUUUGUGAUAAUAGAAGAAACUUAAGUAAACAAUUGAAAGUUUGAAACUUUGAGUAGCAAGCGAGCUUGAAGUCAUCCAAGUCAAUGAAAGUUAUAUACAGUAAUAUUGUUAGGCUAGGAGGUUAGUAGGUAGUAGUGCUUUGUCUUGCUAUCCGUCCACACGUGUGAAAGUUGUACAGUAACGGAAUGGUGUCAAAUGAUUUGGAAUAUUAGAUUAUAUAAACUUAUAGAAAAGGACAACUAGGUGCACUAUGUGCUUGCUAUGUUAGUUGGAAUUUUUCAUUGUCUCAUUUCAUAUUAGAUGGCGAAUAUGGUUGCAUUUGAAAGUUUCAGUUGAACAAUUGGAUGUUAGUUGAAUGUUACGUCAAAGUUUAGAAUAUGAGUAUAAAAUGAAUUUGAACUCUCCAAACUUGUGGAAGUUGUAUAGUAUAAUGUAGUUAAUGGAAUGGUCUCAAACGGUUUGAAAUAUUGGAUUACACUUAUAGAAGGACACCCCACUUGGUCUGACUAUACUGGGUAUGUUGUUGUUGUUGUUGUUAUAGUUGUUGUUGUAUUUAUAGAAAAGGACAGCUCGGUGCACUAAGCCCCGGCUAUAUGCAGGGUAUGGAGAUUGGCCGGACCAUAUUGGGUCUUAGGGAUCUCACUUAGGGGGUUCAAAAUAUGGAACAUAAACACAUGAAGAAGCCAAAGGGGGUUCAACCUACUAUAUAUACAUAAACAUUGAUUUUAACCAUGUAUAAACUGCGUAAUUUUCUGCCGAAGGGGGUCCAUCGCCCUUGAGCCUUAUCUUGCAUUUUUGCACGAGGCCUGAGACUCUGACCUCGGUGAUACUGUUGGUGACUUUUAGUGUUGAGCCAAGGCUUAGCUUAGAACAUAUGAAGUUUUAGUUGUGAUAUAAAUUGUGAUGGAGGCACUGUUGGCACUUACUUUUACAUUGGUUUUGUGUUUUUGUGUUGGACGAGAAGACACAAGUGCCUCUGCAGCAACAACAACUUCUGUACAAUGGGAGGGAAAUGAGGAAUUCUGACAAAUUGAGUGCGCUAGGCAUUGGUGAUGGAGAUUUGGUGAUGAUGGUGUCUAAUGCAGCAUCCCUGUCUAGGUGUGUUUUCUGCUGAUGUCUCAAGUUAUGUUUCAUUAUUUUAUCGGCUAUUUACUGUCCCAUGUUGUUCCCUUCCCCAUUACUCUGCCACAUCUUGCGAAUACAUCUUGUCUUUUGUCUUCUGCUAACAAUUAAAUGAAUGCAUUCCAGUGCACCUGCAAAUGAUUUGAGCUUCAAACAAGACGGGUCUGCAGCAAAUCCUUCAGCUUUCCAACAACACUUGCGAAAUGAUUCAAAUUUGAUGGCCCAACUUUUUCAGGUGGAGGAAUUUAGCUAUUUCCUUUCUUUUUGCUUUUGCUAAAACAUUUUAAGAAAGAAAUGAAGUUCUUAAAAGCAUAUUGUAUUAGUGCAAAAUUGCAAUUUUCAAAACAUGUACCUACUCAGAGUUUUUGAACUAGUUAGCAUCCGUACAUUUCCUAGCUGGUGAUUGUUAAAAGAAAAACUGCCCUUACAUAUGAUGUUAUCAUGAUCUUAUAGGUACGAUGAAGGAAUAGUCAUACGCCGAUUAGGAAGUUUCGUACUUAUUUAGUGGAUUCCUAUCAUACUUCGUAAUUUUGCUGGAUCAGUCUGAUUUUAAAAUGGUUGCUAAUUUGACUUGAUUGUGUUCUUACAUGCGCGGUGAAGGAUAAGUUAGAUUCUGAGAGGAAAUUUUCAUAUGCUUUAAUCUUUAUGAUGGAUUACUCUUAUACUGUGUUAUUUUUUGGAUCAAUUUGAUGUGAACAUGAUUGCUAUUAUUUGUGCUCUCCUCCGCUCCACCUUGUGGUUGGUUGCGAUCAAUUCAUAACACGGAGGUCCCAUGAGCUUGUAUAUGAUGUUUGAACUUGCAGAAUGAUCCUGAGUUAGCACAAGCUGUCCUUGGGAAUGACUUAAAUAGGCUGCAAGAGCUUCUACGUUUGCGUCAUCAGCAUAAAUCAGUGCUACGGCGUCGUCAAGAGGAGGAGAUGGUCAGGAGCUUCUAUUGCUAAAUUACCGUCUUUUCUUCUGUAUGCUUUAAUGUACUCCACAAUUUUGAAAGUCCCAUUAGUGAUUGCUUUACAACUUCUUGCCAAAAGAUCAUAGGAACUAAUGAUUGUGCUAAAAGAUCAUAGGAACUAAUGCCAGUGAUCUGCUGUAAAGAAGAGUAGAAUUUUGAAAUUCCCUUAUGCCGCAAUUUGGAAGCAUUCAUUCUGUAAUGUAUCAUGCAAUAUCUACUAAGGAUGUGACCUUAGGGUUUACCACAGGCUUUUGAAGGUGUUUCCCAGAGCUAUAUAGUCAGCUUUUACAGUAUAUUUUGGCCAUCUGAUGCUUUGCCCCUAGCUUAUAUGAAGUCGGCAGGACUGCUCAGAAUUUCUCAACCGUUUGAUUUAAAUUUUUCUUAGUUUAACUUUCUAUAGAUAUUUGAUUUGUUAUCUUUUUGUUUCCUUCGGUGCUCACCUAGGUACUCAUUAAGCGGGCUAGAUAAAGAAGUUUCAUACAGCCAACCCAACUAAUUCGGGAAUGAGGCAUAGUUGAUUGAUUGAUAUUCAUUGAUUAAUAUAAAUUUAUGUUGAAUCGUAGGCACUGCUGUAUGCUGAUCCAUUCGAUGUCGAGGCACAAAAGAAAAUUGAAGAGGCAAUUCGCCAGGUUAGCUGGCAUAUCAAUCUACAUUGUCAUUAUAGAAUGUUUUUGAAACUGAGGUGUACUGGCCAAUUUUUUUAGACUGCUUCAAGUUAUUAUCAGUUAAGCACCGUAGCUCCUUUGUAUACAUUCUUUAAUUUUAAUAUGCUUAUUUUACUUGAAUGGACCAUAAACAGCCAUGCUUUUCCUCCUUCCUUCUAUUUUUCUGGGAAAACGAUCUAGCUCCUAUUUAAGCAUGAUUUACCACUGUUUAGAUAAAUGUUAUGGCAAAUAUAUGAAAGCGGUUAACUUCUUCACAGGGACGUUUAUUAUUUGAUCAAAUAUCGAUUUUACUAUGUUAACUAACUUUUAUACUAAGUCACUCUAAUUAUCAACUAAUGACGUUAAAAUAAACUGUAUACCUUCCUGUGAGCUUCUCUUCCAACAGCUCUAGUAUGCUGAAUAUUGAAAUAUUGUUUGGAUCAUCAUUCGACCAACCUAUAAAUCAUCGGUAGCCUUUGCUUGUUGGAUUUUGAUAGGGACUCUGGAACUUGUAGUUGAUUUGAUUGAUUAAUAUAUGUAGAAGUUUCAUCCAUCUCAAAAUAACAUAUGUAGAAGAUUCACAUAGCCAAUCCCAACUAAUUUGGGAUUGGACCUAAUUGAUUGAUUGCUAGAGUCUUUGGAGCUUGUCCUGGAUCAUCCGUACUCUCUUUGCAGAUUAUAUUGCCGUAAAAUGGCGUAACUUUUGUAUAGCCAGCCAGUCAUUUUUUAUAAGCUCAAAUGCCAUAUCUUGUAAUUCUUGCACCUUCUUGAUGACUUUAUUAAUACCAAAUCAUCAAAAAAGUAAAAUGGUAUAAUCAUAAAGUCUUGCCAAAUGUUUCUCCGUCUACUAUAUAUUAGUUUUUUCUUUUAUUCGGUGGUGUCUUUCUUCGGAAACUUCUCUUUUGAGCCGAGGGUCUACCGGAAACAACCUCCCUACCCCACAAAGGUAGGGGUAAGGUCUGUACAUCGUACCGUCCUUGUCCCCCACUUGUGGGAAUACACUGUAUGUUGUUGUUUUAUGCAAUGGAAGUUGGGUCUAGUUGUGUUAGAGCUUUUCCAUGUUUUGCAUAUUUUCCAGAAAGGAAUUGAAGAAAACUGGGAAGCUGCGUUGGAACACAAUCCUGAAGCUUUUGGCACUGUGGUAUGUAAAACUACCUUGUGCCUUUCAAAGUUUGAUUUUCUCUGUGGUUUUAAUGAAGCUGGGUAACUUUUUGGCUUAUUCAGAUUAUGUUAUAUGUUGACAUGGAAGUAAAUGGUCAUCCUCUAAAGGUAGGGAUUUUGUUUUUGAUUUGAAUGUGUUCCAUCUUCUUGGUAAAUCUUGUUACAUUUGGUUCAGUGGGAUAUUUUGUUUCUCUUUGCUUUAGGCUUUUGUGGAUAGUGGAGCUCAAUCCACAAUUAUAUCUAAAAGCUGUGCAGAACGUUGUGGGUAUGAUUUCUGAGGCUGUGCUGUAUUUUUGAUAGUAACUUGUAUUUGGUUAGCAAAAAUGAUUAUUAUAUAGCAAGCUCGUACCUUUCUUUCUUAAAAAAUAAAAUUAAAUUGCAAGCACAUUGAUUGAUGAGUAGUUUUAGUCAGAGAUAUAUUUUUACCUUGUAAAAAAAAAGGUCAGGGAGACGAGAAGAGUUCCUUUUUUUUUUAAAUAAAAUAAAAUUUAAUUGAAGUAUAUUGUUCAAAAAUUCAGAUUCUAGAUUGACAGAAGAAUAGCAAUAGACAAAUUAAGAAUUCAAUGUGAAUUAUAGAAGCACAUCGUGCAGAAUCUUCAACUCCUGCUGUAGACUGUUUGGCAUUAAGACUGCAUGCUUUUCAUCGACAUGCUAUAGUGUCUCAAGGUUAAUCUAAAAAAAUUUUAGUUCUGAAGUUCAUAGUUGCUUACUUAUUGUAUGAAACACACUACACACCUAUAUUAUAAUGUUCCUAAUUCAUAUCCCUUUUCUAACUUAUAAGAUAUUAGAACUACCUUUAAAAUUCCUUAACAAGCCAGGAGGCAGGGGGUAUCCAUUAGCUUGAUGACGGGGUUGAGUGAAUAACUAACAAGUAAAAGUCUAGGGUAGAUGGGUGGACCCAUCAUCCGCAGAGUUUUAAGCCGUAUGCCACUGAUCUUUGGGGAUUUCUUGGUUAUCAAACAGUAGAAGUUUAUAGGGCAAUACAUUACUCCGUUUGACAUUCAGAUUUUUGGUUUUGUUUACUGUAGAAUAAUGUAGUAAUGAAUGUAGCUGGUGUUUGUUGCUGUUUAUUCUUUUCCAAACUAUCACUGUUGACCCCUUCUCUCGCAGAUUGUUGAGGUUACUAGAUACACGCUACAAGGGCAUUGCUCGUGGAGUUGGUCAAACAGAGAUACUAGGUCGUAUUCAUGUUGCUCCAAUCAAGGUUUGUUGCGUCCUUGGAGCUUAUGAGCUACUUCAGUCUUGUGUGUGUACUUCAAGUGCAUUGACAGUAUACAAUAGAUGCAGCUGUUUUUUACCAUAAAUAGUUGAUACAGCUGUUUUACCGAUGAAUCCUUUUUAUUUUCUCAUGCACUGCCCAGAAAUUAAAUAGAUUGCUGGGUGGUUAAAUUCUGCUUCUGUCAAAUGCUUUCCAUAUCCUAUUCUCAGUUUCGCUAUUACUGUACUAUGUCUUACUAAUGUUCAAUUUUGUCUGGGUUCCUGAUGCUAACUAUCCUUUCUAUGGUUAGCAGUUUAAAUCAUAAAUUAGUUACACACUAACCUUUAUGCACAACUUAUAGCUAUACAUAAUAGUCAAUAACACCCAAGGGUGUGGCCUAGUGGUUCAAUGAAGUUGGGAUGAGUACCAUGAGGUUUCAGGUUCAAUUCCCAUUCCCAGCAGAGACAAACACUAGGUGAUUUCUUCCCAUCUGUUCUAGCAUUGGUGGAUAGAGUUACCUGGUACCUUAUGCUGGGAGGUGGCAGGUAUCCCGUGGAUUUAGUCGAGGUGCUCACAAGGUGGCCCGGACACCACGGGUAUCAAAAAAAAAAAAAAUAGUCAAAUAAUUAAUAAUCUGUCAGUUGCAAUUUGUAAGUAGUUUUAACUUGCUGGCUCUUUGCUUUAAAUCAAUUUUUCCGAUGACUUGUCCCAGUAGUCAGUUGGUGAUAAUUACUUGUUCUAGUCAUGACACAUGAGGAUUAAGUUGUCCAACCAGCCACAUGUGACAUUUGUUUUAGUGAACGGAAGCUUUGGAAUUAACGAGAAGCUGUGGAUAUGCUGCCUUCAAAUUAAUGAUAAGUUCCUAGAGAUGCCCUGUUAACAUGUUUGACUUCAAUUUGCUACUCUUAACUAUGGCAGAUUGGAAACAAUUUUUACCCUUGUUCUUUUGUGGUGCUGGAUUCUCCGAAUAUGGAAUUUCUAUUUGGACUUGAUAUGCUUCGCAAGCACCAGGUUUACUUUCUUGCCUUGCUCGUAACAUUUUUUCCAUUUUUGUUUCCUUUUUAAUACAUAUUAUAAGCUAAUGGUAAUGAGUUUUUGCAGUGCAUGAUUGAUCUGAAGGACAAUGUUCUGAGAGUUGGCGGAGGGGAAGUUGCUGUACCAUUUCUACAUGGUUGGUGAUGCUCCUGGUUACCUUGAUACUGGAUAGUACUACUUUUGAGCUUUUACCAAGUUUUUUGUACUUCAAAUUUCAGAGAAGGACAUUCCCGGUCAUUUUCUUGAUGAGGAGAGGCACGCCAAGGAGGCUUCGAGCUCAGGAGCCCAGGUAAAGGCAUUUUUUUUAAAUAAAAAUAUUUUUUCUGAAUUUAACAUUAGCGUCUUUCUUUUUUUUCCUCUGGAAGUAUGUAGUGGGCAUGUAGUUUAAUGUGAGCAGUUAAUGAACAAAAAAAUUGAUCUAUUUCAAGAGCUAAUGUUGUACAAAUUUGAGUGCACUUGACGCCAUAAAAGAUAAAGUUGAUUGUGAAAUUAAUGGAAUCAUUGAUGAAAUGAUUGAAGUUGGCCUCUUUCUUUUUUACAAUUACGACAUUCUUGAUGAAAUUUUCUUUAUUUUCUGGGGUUGCUUUCGCCGGUUUGCUCCAAGGCCGGUGCAGUUACGUUAUGCUGCACUUUAUAAAUCUUCAAGAUUGUUUAGCCCUUUCAUAAUCUGUUAUAUCAUCGUUUUCCUCUGAUAUUCAAAUCAGAAAUUUUGACCUUCUACGAGCAGUGCUAAACUUGGUUCUUUCCUUGUUGUAUCAGGCAACAUCUGGAGCAACGGAGAAGACUGAUCCUACAAAAGGAGGUCCUUCUGGUUAGCUUCAAUAUCCAAAUAUAAUUGUGAUAUUCCACCUAGAUCGUUGCAACUUUUUCUCCGUCAGUUUCAACUGUUAUUCUGCACCCAGGGAUUCAGAUUCUUUAAGAUUAUUUGCUUAAUAUAAUCUAGGAAAUCAUGUUGACAUGCAGUUCUCUUUCUUCUUGCUUACGGUUGUUUCCACAGCUAUCUUUAUUGAGAUAAGCAUCUAGUACCCCCUCGAACUAUGACCAAAGUUUCUACGACACACUCCAACUUCACAGGGGUCCUAUUACCCCCUAACUCAAUUUUAGCGUAUUUUUGUCACCCGUUCGUGCUGACGUGACACCUUUAUUACAUAAAAUGGGGCCCACGUCAAAGGUGCUACGUCAAAAUGGUUGACAAAAGGUGCUACGACAACACAAAAAUAAGCUAAAAUUGAGUUUGGGGUUACUCAUCUUUAUUUUCUGUCUUCUGAAUUGCAUUUACUUAUGAUUCAACAUUGUCUUGAUCCACAGGAGGUGCCCGUGGGAACUUGACACAGGUAAAUUUGUGCAGCGCGUAAAUUUUCUUGUUCCUUUGUGAACAAAUAUGAACCUCAGUAGAAGAACAAUUCAAACUUGGAAUCGAUGUUUUAUGUGCAGGGACCUGAAUUCGAAGCCAAAGUUGCUAAGCUUGUCGAGUUAGGCUUUGGACGGGAUGCAGUAAUACAAGCUCUGAAGUUUUUCGAUGGUAACGAAGAACAAGCAGCCGGAUAUCUAUUUGGGGGUUAAUUAUAUCCCUUUCCUAUCAUAGAAUUAAGAUUUGUGACUUUAAAAUUUUCAGACUAAACAUUUUUUAUUGUUGAGAUUAAGUUAAGUCUUCCUACCAUUGCAUUCAAAUUUGUCUUUGAAAUUGUAUUUGGUGGACACAAAAUUAACCUUGAAACUCAAGGUGAAUUAUUUGGUUCUGUGGUUGUUUGGGUGUUAUAUUAAACUUAAUGCAUGGUAGUAAAUGAGCAUUUACACUUCAAUUUUUCAUAUUUGUACUUUUUAAGUAGGUUAAUUUUAUCACAUAUUGCACACAUUUGUUUCUUGUCCUUUUACUAUUUCUUAUCUAAAUUGUUUUAUUUUGAGCCGGAGGUCUAUCGGAAACCUCCUCUCGAUCUCACAUCUGAGGUAGUGGCACGGACUGCAUACACUUACCCUCCCCAGAUCCCACUUGGUGGGAAUAUAUUGGGUAUGUUGUUGUUGUUGUGCACGGAUUGCAUAUACUUACCUUCCUCAGGCCUCACUUGGUGGGAAUAUACCGGAUACGUUGUUGUAUUGCACAUAUCUUUCCGUAAGAUACACACUUAUUUUGCCAAUUGUUAGCAGCUUUCUGCUGUUAUCCUGAAUUAUGAAUAACUGCAGUAGUAGUAAUCUAAACCAAUAUAGAAGUUCCAAGAUAUGCAAUAGUUUUACCCCCAAUGAUCCAUUACUAUUUUGUUGUCGUUAUUUUCCUUUCUAUCGUAUUUUCUUACGCUUCUUUUGAGCCAAAAGUCUAUUGAAAAUAGCCUUUACCUUACAAAGGUAGGGUAAAAUUUGUAUACGACCCUAUCCUUUGAAAACCCCACUUGUGGGAUGAUGUUACGCACGAUUGAUUCAUGAGGAAAAAGAAAAAAGGACAACCCGGUGCACUAAUCCUCCUGUCAUGCGCGGGCGGGGUGCACUAAUGCUGGGGUCCAGGAUGCAUGAUAUUGAUACAAUGCAUAUCAUUCAUGAGCAAAAGAAAAGGACAGCUCGGUGCACUAAUCCUCUUGUUAUGCAUGGGGUGCACUAAUGCUCCUGCUAUGCAAUGGGGUCCAGGGUGUAAUUAUACCCGUCUUCGAGGAGAAAAACUAGUGCAACUCAAAUGUAAAAUAAGUUUGAAGAUUGCAUUUCUAAGGCAACUAUAGUCAGAAUACAAAUUUUGAAAUGUCCAAAGCUAUGAACACAUUAUUGAUUGUUUAAUCAUCCUCAACUGGCUCUCUUUUCUUCCUCAUGAGCUCUCUCCUGCGAUUCAGAGAUGGAACGCGACCACCAAUAUUCAUCAUGAGCUCUCUCGCGCGAUGGAGAGAUGGAACACGAUCACCAAUAUUCAAUGUUUCAGUCAUCAUCUGUACCGAAAUACCUGUCACCAAACUCUCCCAUUCCAGGGAUAACACGAAAUUCUUCGUUCAAACCAUUUUCUAUCUCAGAUGUCACAAUCUUUAUUCUUGGAAAACGCUUACACACCACGUGUACUCCUUGGGGCGCCUAGUUUGAGAACAACACAAGUUAUGAUUCCGGCAUUAUGUUGCAACAGAAGAUCUGCUUGUUUACGCGUUAAACAGGCAGCCAGGUGCGCUAAAGCUCUCGCUAUGCGGGGGGGUCUAUUCUACGCAGCCGCCUUACCCUGCAUUUAUGCAAAAGGCUGUUUCCACGGCUUGAACCCUGUGACCUUUUGUCACAUGGCAGCAACUUUACCAGUUAUGCCAAGGCUCCCCUUCUUGUUAUGCGCAAUGAGUGGAUGUAAAGAGAAUCAAACCCAACAAUUGGAUGAGCCAGUAAACUUACAGAGAUAAGAUUAAGGAAUAAAAUGUUGGACUCUGGGACUCCCUUCUUUAACAGUAAAGAAAUAGCUUGAACUGCUGAAUUCCCUGCAGAUUGUUACAUAAUAGGCUCAGUUAUGCAAUCGUUUAAAAGGGCAGCCCGGUGCACUAAAGCUCCCGCUAUGCGCAGGGUCCAGGGAAGGGCCCCACCACGAGGGUGUUUCCAGGCUUGAACCAGUGACCGUAUGGUCACAUGGCAGCAACUUUACCAGUUACUCAAAGGUUACGCAAUCGUUUGUCAAGAAAAUUUUAAAAUGCUUGAUGAUGUAAUGCAGAAGUUAGAGGUCGAGGGCGUUCGUGAAAAUAGACUAACCUGUGCCAAGGAUAGGAUCUAACAAAAGGACAUGCCUUUGUGCAAUAUCUUCUGGUAGUUUUUCAUAGAUCAGCUGCACCAUUAUUCAUGCCAUUAAUGAGAGAAAUCGAAUGCUAAUAUAAUGAUUCGGGGGGGCAAAGAGAUCGCUAACCUGCUGGCCGUUGUCACCUUCUCUGUGGAUAAGAAUCUUGCCUAUCUUGAUACCUUUACAACAUGCACGCAACGCGUUCUCCAUGCUCUCUCCACUGCACAAAUUAGGAACUCGUAUGGCUAGUAAAGAGAACGUUGCAAUGACGAAAUCUACUUUUGAAGGCAGAUAAGAAGCAACCACGGUCACUUCUAAGGUAAACAACAUAUCUAGUGUAAUCCCACAAAAGGAGGUUGUUUUCGAUAGACGCCCGGCUCAAGUAAAGCAUAUCAAAAUCAAGUAUCAAAAGGAACUACAAUCGCGAAGAAGCAAUGCUGAAAUUGUCACUUCUAAGGUACCAAGUGAGGCGAACAGUAAUUACCUUCUAAUUACAGAGACACCACAUAACCUCUUGCAGAAAUCUACACCACUGUAUACCGAUCCUGCAGUCAACAGAGGUGAGUUUAUUUAGGUACAUUUUUCAUGUUCGAGGACGGCAAGAAGAGCUAAGCCUAUGAGUAAACAUGAACAGAAGAAACUCUGAAUCAAAUGACGAUAUUGUCUAUAGUUCACGAGGACCUCGUUCCAUGCGAGUCUUGUCAGAUCAGUAUCGUAAUGAGUGAUAGCACAACAUUCUAUAUGAAGAGUUGGAAAAAAGUGAGACAACAAUAGCAUUUAGCCUGGUCCAUACACCUAAUAUAGACCGAACUUACCAAAUAGGCUACGACAAUAGAAGAAAUCAAAACAUUUCCGAGCACAAGUCAUGAGUAUUGCGUCAUGGGGAUAGCGCUUACCGGUUGGAGUGAUCACCUGUUUUUCUGUAAAUGGCAGAUGUCCUAGUCCAUGCUCAACAACCUGGUAAAGUGAGGCAUAGAUAAGGGAAAACAAAGAUUUGGACUUCUCGCGUUAAAAACUUAACUUGAUUACCGUGUAAGAAAGGGAAACUUACCAAACGAAUCAAUCUAUCAGCAUAAAACACAAAAUCAUGCUUUGUCGUCUGUGCAUCGCGGAUAAGUGUAUGCAUGCCGCGUAUCUAAAUGGAACAAAUAACAAUCAUUAGAACAAAAUAAAAGCUUGAUCUUGAAGAACAUGAAAAUGACUUCAAGAUGAAGCUUAAACAGUUGGGGACUAGAACAUAUCGACGAACAAGAUGGAAAUAGCACCUGGAAAGUAGAUUGAAUAACAUAUAAGUUAGGGUAUAUUUUACAAAGAUUAUUUUGACCAAGUUUCGUCCUAAUAUGUUGCACAAUCAAAUCGAUCGCAACAUGGUUGUCUCCACCCCGGGGAAUGAUAAUGUCAGCAUACUUCUUUGUUGGAAGAAUGAAGUCAUCAAAAGCCGGUUUGACAAACUUGGAAUACUGCACAAACAUUACAUUACGUUAGUCUUGAAAAGCAAACAAAUUACAUAAAGAAUUAUGCUGAAUUUUGGGCAAGUCGUCAGUUUUGAAAAGGCCUUGUUAGAACCUUCCGUCGAGAACAGAAUCCAGGUGCAUGCACAGACAUGAAGCGGGCAAAAAGUUAGCUCACAAAUUCUUUCAAAAAACAUAUAAAGCUCAGCUAACCUGAUCUAGUACUGUAGCAAUAUCUCUAUUCUUUUCAACAGUGUCUCGUCUUAUCCUCCUUGCAAGGCGUACAUCAGCAUCUGCGCUGAAAAUUUUAAAUUAUGAAGCCACAAAAGCAGAAGAUUCACCAUAGAUGUCCGUCGACAUGGAAUGGAACAACAAGCAGAAGCAAUAUCCUUGUGAUUAAGACUAACCGGCAAAUCGAACAAUAGGAAGAGCUGACAACAAUUGUAAAAACAAACGCUGCGAAGAAAUAAGUAAAAUCACUCCAAUGAUCCGCUUCAAUGUGGAUUUGGUGCUUCUACACAUACAUCCGUGUAGCAUAGCAGUAUUCCGAUUGCUAGAUUCUUUUUUUCUUCUCGAUAAAUCUAAUGUUGUCUAGACAAAUAAAGGACUGGAACAAAAAUUCAGUUAGUGUUUGAAGUUCGGUGAGCCGGGGGUCUAUCUGAAACAGCCCCUCUACUUCUUCGGAGGUGGUGGUAUGGACUGCGUACAUUUUACCCUCUCCAGACCCCACUAGGUGGGAAUACACUGGGUAUGUUGUUGUUGUUUGAAGUUCGGUUUUAUCAUUUUUAGGUGAAAUAAUUGAAAAGAACAAGAUGCACGAAAGAAAAAAAUCCGGAUGAGAUAAUGACUAUGGCACCCUAUUCUUUUAAUAUCACAGAUAGAAGUCGAUGAAGGACAGAACUCAUGCCAACAGGGAGACAAAGCAGUAAUAUAAUACAAGAGAUAUAAAGAUAUAUCAAAGAAAGGAGAGGAAAGAACCUGUAUCUACAAAUAUCUUCAUACUCAUCAGAUCUCGGACACGAGGAUCAUGAAAAAUGAGUAUGCCUUCCAAAAUUAUAACAUCCGAAGGAUUGACCUACCAAGUUAAGUCAGAGUGGUCAGUGACACAUAAUAAAAAAAAAAAAAUUAGACGCAGGCAGUAGGUUUCCACACGCCUAUCUUAAUAAUCUAUCGAGAAGAGUGUCUAUGUUCCAAAUCAUUGGAAUGUUAUCUUUCUCCUUUUCCUCCUUGUUUUCCCUUGGAGGCAGGUUUGGAUCACAGAUAAAAAAUGUUCAAAAGAUGGACGACGUAAAGUGACAUACUCUUAAAAGGAAUUGGAUUGAUAUCGAUGUAACAGUACAAGCUGAAACGAUAUAAAAAUAAGAGGAAAACACCAUGCUAUAUAAGACAUUACCCUUCGAAGAGGGAAUACGUCAUUCUUGUAACUCUUAAAAUCAUACUUUGGAACAUCCACAGCUUGCCCAUGCUUCAAUUUCUCCAUCACACACAACAGUUGCUCAGUGUCAAAUGCAUCUGAAUACGACGCACAAUAAUUAGAAAGAAGAAAAAAAACGAUGCACAAUAAUUAGAAAGAAGAAAAAAAGUUAGCACAUAGAAACUAAGAAGAAAAGCACAUAGAAACUAAGAAGAAAAAAAACGAUGCACAAUAAUUAGAAAGCAGAAAAAAAGUUAGCACAUAGAAACUAAGUACAUGUCUCUUUAUUAAGUGAUUCCAUGGAGUUAACACUUCUGUGAAAACAAGUAUUAAUUGUUCAAAUCCUUAUUAACCGAUUUCACGGAGUUAAUAUGAUCUAUCGGCAACUGUGAGAAUGAUAAUAUAGAUAACUGUCGAUACUUCACGAUAGAAAAUGAUUUCUUUGUUUCUCUAAGGAAUGAAGAAAUAAACAGUUUUACCUGUGUAUUCAAUGCAAGAGUAUAAAGAACGAGACUAACCAGGAUGGUCAAAGUUGUACUCGUGAACUUUUGUGAGUUCUUCUAGAGUCAAAUUGUGAUAAAAAGAAUCCUGCCAAUUGAAACACACGUCAGAGAAAUCAGCGUUCGGGUUUGGCAGGCUAUAUGCCAUUUCCCCCAAAAUUAAGACAAAUAUAAAGCAAGGACACACUGAAAAGUAGUGCAAGACAGACAAAUAUCUACACUCGGUGAUUUUUAUGACCACAACUUCAGCAAUGAAACAUGUCAGAUGAAGCUUUAGACGUGUCCUGUAAAAGAACUCUUUAUACUGAACUUCACAUGUAAAAGCUCAGAUCCACGAGUCAAUCAAAUCUGGAAUAUGGAAUAGGACCCCAGGUGAAGUAGCUGUAAUAAGCAAAGAGUGAAUGCUUAUCACUUAUAUGUGUCCCCGGGCCUUAGCUCACUUGGCAAAGGUUGAGGGACUUUGUGAAUAGGGUCACGGGUUCGAGCUCUACGCCAAGCGAACCAAGACUAGUAUUCAAGUGGAGAACGGUAGAGGAUUGGGUCCAUCGCUUCCUAGUUUCAAAGGUUGUGGUUGGUCUUAAGGGCAUUAGAGAAAAAAUCUAAAAACGAAUAGAAAAAGAACUAUGCUGUCAGUCAAAUUUAGAGUGAUGAAAGGUGUUUUUUUUUUCACUAUGAAGAAAACUUGCCUGGUUAACUAGGACAACACGCUGAUCGUGAAGCUGAUCAAUAAUCAAAUCGCAAACUGUAGUCUUGCCCGAUGCAGCACCUCCAGCAACUCCUGCAGGGAAAACGGUUCAUACGGGCAUGGAUUAAGAGAACACUAAGAGAGCUGGAAUGAUUCAAAAAGAUAACAAUCAUGAUAGAUGCAAACACAAUUGGCAUUACGGUCUUGAAUAGCAUGAAAGUUCAAUCAGUCCAAAGUUUAAGUUUCACUACUGUAGCAAUGUUACAUGAACUGCUCCCACAUUAGGCAAUAAUCCCAAGAGAUCUCCUCAUGCCAAAUCGACAAACUGCUAUUUUGACCAAACGACAGACAACAAAUUCAGAGCAUAUGCUUCCAGAGUUCCAGUAAAUGCUGAACUAACUCCACUAAGAUGAGAUACAAAAUCAUUGCAACGGGCAAGAGAUGGAUCGGGCACAAAAAUCAAUCCAGGCUUUAGUAAGCUUGGUCUGGAUAUCUACGUCAAACAACUAACUGAAAUAAUUUUAAUGCAAGCUCAAUGAUUUCCUUUCCAUCACCAAAUUCAACAUCAUAAUUUUCUCAUCCAAUGUGAUCAAGCAUAUGCAUGUAUAACUUUACUAAGUAUUAAAGAUGCAAGAGCCAUUAGCAUCUGCCGAAAAUGAUUUGAAUGAUGACAGCAAUUAAUCGUUCUGCAUAUAUUUGUGAUAAAGAGAUUGAGUAUCUGUCCUUAGUUUCAGAAGGUAAAAGUAUCGUGUACACUGAGAUUCAUCAAACAUAAGGGUGCGAGGAACAAUUCGGUGAUUUAUCUCCUUCUAUGAUUAAGCAAAGCACGAUAGCCUCGAAAGUACAGUUAGUUUAGAAAAAGCUCAAGCAACAGCACGAGAUAUAUUACCGCCUCCACAUACCUAUGACAAACGGUUGCUUAACACUUCCAUCUAUAGAAGUUGUUGGUUGAUCAAUCUCUGAAGUAUGUGACUCUUCUAAAUGAAAUCCGGAAUAAUGUACUCCGGAUGACGCCUCUAACAAAUCUUCAACUGCUUUUGAACCCAUUUAUAAAUUGUAGGCUCUGCAUUUACGUAACAAUCAGCUGAUGGAAUAAAAGCGUACAGAAGAUUAUACCAACAACAUAAAAUAGUCAUCCAGAUGGUAACUGACAUACUCCCGAAAAAUUUAACCUUUCCUUUCAAGUGAGAUCUUCUCCAACAUAACUCAAAAUAGUAAAGUCCAUAAUUCAUGAUUCCUCGACUUAGAUACAGCUGUUUAUACUUUUUGGCACUAUGCUUUAAGAUGCAAAACGUCUACGAUACUAACACAUUUCGUGUUUUCUUCAGUUCCAGAUUUAUAAAUCGCUACUAAGCUUUUAGUUGUACAAAUGAUCACCCAGAAAAACAACAAUAACAACACGUCAGUCCCAAAUGAUCACCUAGAAUCUUGAAAAUUUAAUAUAGUGCAUCUCAGCAGCUAAAAAUAUGAAAAUAAUUGCUCCUUUGCUGCAACCAAAUCAAGGUUUCACAACUUCGUACAUGCCCUAAUAAAUUAAUAAAAGAAUCUCUCUAAAUCUUAACUACUAUGUAUUCACGACUCCGCUGUAUCAUAGUUCAAUCCUAAGUUGCUCCGACUCUUUUGAAAUUGCCGCACCCGUGUCGGAUCCUUCAAAAAUGCACUAUUUUUGAAGGAUCCGGCAAGCACCAGAUUACACUUUUGAAGAGACCGAGCAACAUAGAUUCAAACAUCCUCAACUUAAAUACAAACGGUCACCAUAGUGCUAAAAAAUUAAUUCAGCAUCUCGGCAGCUAAAAAGUAUGGAAAGAUUGCUCCUUUGCAGCAACCAAAUCAAGGAUUCACAAAUUCUUACAUGUCCUAGUAAAUCGAUAAAAGAAACUUAUCUAAAUCCUAACCACCGCAUAUUCACGACUCUGCUGUAUCCUAGUUCAAACAUCCUCAAAUUGAGUACAAAGGUCAAAGGGUCACCACAAUGCUGAAAAACUAAUUCAGCGUCUUAGCAGCUAAAAGAGUACUAAACAGAUUACUCCUUUGCUGCAAUCAAUCAAGGUUUCACAAAUUCAUACGUGUCCUAGAAAAUUGAUAAAAGAAUCUCUCUAAAUCCUAACUACUACAUGGUCCAAACAUCCUCUAAUUGAGUACAAACGAUCACCGGCAAUGCUGCAAAAUUAAUUCAGCGUCUCAGCAGCUAAAAAUUAUGAAAAAGAUUGCUCCUUUCAUACAACCAAAUCAACCCCUCAUGAGGGCCCUUAGAGUAGGAGAAGUAGGGGGACCAUAAGAAUUAAUAAAUAGCAAUAAAGAUUCUACCUGUUUAACUACUACAACACUUGCAACAAUAACAACAUAACUACUGUAAUCCAACAAGUGGGCAUUUGGGAGCGUAGAAUGUACGCAGACCUUACCCCUACUGCAAAAGUAGAGAGAGGUUGUUUCCGAUAGACCCUCGGCACUUACAACAACAACAUAAAAGGACAGCCCAGCGAACUAAAGCUCCCGCUAUGCGCAGGGUCUGAGGAAGAGCCCCACCACAAAGGUGUUUUGUACACAGCCUUACCUUGCAUUUCUGCAAGAGGCUGUUUCCAAGGCUUGAACCCGUGACCUCGUGGUUACUCCAUAGCUCCCCUUCAACAACAACAACAACAUAUCUAAUGUAAUCCUGCAAGUGGGGUCUUGAGCAAGUAGGAUGUACGCAGACCUUACCUUAACCUUUGCAGGGUAAAGAGACCGUUUUCGGUAGACGCUCAGCUCAAAAGAAAUGUAAACAAUACAGGACUACUUCAACACUUAAACAUAACAAAAAAACAUUAAUUUAUCACAAAUAAAAAGAAUCCCAAAAUCAAAUCUUUAACAUUUAGUCCAACAAGCAUCCAAGGGUGUGGCUUAGUCGUCAACGAAGUAGGUGAGAAUCAUAACAUCUCAGGUUCAAAUUCCAGCAGAUACAAAAACACCAGGUGAUUUCUUUCCAUCUAUCCUGGUCUUGAUAGAUAGAGUUACCUAAUACCUGUUGCGGGUAGGAGGUGGCAGAUAUCAUGUAGAAUUAGUCGAGAUGUGCGUAAGCUGACCCGGACACCAAAGUUAUUUAGAAAAAGAAACAUUAAUUUAUCACAAAUAAAGAAAUCCCAAAAUCAAAUCUUUAACAUAUAGUCCAACAAACAUCCAAGGGUGUGGCCUAGUCGUCAAUGAAGUGAGUAAGAAUCAUAACAUCUCAGGUUCAAAUCCCAACAAAUACAAUAUCCUAGCCUCGAUGGAUAGAGUUACCUGGUAUCUGCUGUGGGUAAGCUAGCCUAGAAACCACAAUUAUUAAAAGAAAAAAAAAACAUUAAUUUAUCACAAAUAAAGAAAGCCCAAAACCAAAUCUUUAACAUAUAGUCCAACAAGCAUCAAGGGUGUGGUCUAGUCGUCAAUAAAGUGAGUAAGAAUCAUAAUCCCAGCAGACACAAAAAUACUAGGUCAUUUCUUCCAAAAGCAUAGAGUUAAAAAACAUAUAGUCCAACACAUAAAAGAUAUAUUAGCUUUUUUUUGUUUUUGUUUUCCCAAGCCGGCAGUUAUGAGACUAAUCUUCCAUUCCUACGGUCAGCGCUAAAUAAGAAAUGUACAUAUAUAAAUUCAAGAAUCAAGAUUCUGGAAUAUACCUUUUUAUGGCUGGAAUCAACUAAAUUGAGCUAAAAAAAGGAUCUUUAACUACAAAAAAGAAAGACAAAAUCAAGAAAACAGUUAUCUUUAUGCAAUAUUAAUAUAUAUAUAUACAUAUAUAUAUAUACAUAUAUAUAUAUAUGAUUUUUUAAACAAUUUUGGUGGUGACCCAAGUGAAUCUAUAGGGUGAAAGUUCAUAAAAGCGGAGUUUUUUUGUAUUAUUGUGUUGAUAUUUUUUUGAAUUUUACAGUGACACCCAUAGUUAUACACUAAAUUUCUAGAUAUAUACAAAAUGGGGUUGCACCAAACAAAAAUGUGUUGAGAUUGUAUCGAAAGCAAUGUAUCUUUAUAAAAGAAAGAAUAUAUAUAAUUAUGUAUCUCGAUAGAUUAAAAAUUAAAAAAAUGUAUUGGGAGCUGACUAUGUAUCUUUACAAAGGAAAAAUUGUAUCUUCAAUAGAUAUAUUAUAUAUCUCGAACAUUUCAAAGUUGAAAAAAAUUUGUAUUGGGAGUUAAUUAUGUAGCUUUACAAAAGAAAAACGUAUCUUCGUUGAAGAUAUCGGAAGCUAAUUAUGUAUCUCAACGGAUCCAAAAUGAAAGGAAAAAAUGUAUCUUUGUUGGAUGUAUUAUAUAUCUCGAUAGACUCAAAAAUGAAAAAAAAAUAUCGAAAGCUAAUUAUGUAUCUUUACAAAGGAAAAGAUGUAUCUUUAUCGAAUAUAUCGAGAGCUCAUUAUGUAUCUCAACAGACUCAAAAUCGAAAUUAUUAAUUAUACUAAAAUAAAUCUAUAAAAAGAUUAUAUAAAAUAAUGUAUAUUACUAUAUACUCAUUGAUUUAAUUUAUAAAUAAUUAUAAAUCUUUUUCCAUUGUUUUUCAUUUUUAAUUUUUUUUUUCAUUUUUAACAUUUUAAAUUACACGUCAGCAUCGAGUUGGAUGUGGGGUCCACUGUCUUGUUGAGGUUAACUUUGGGCCCACAAAGUUUACUGAAUCUAUUAGUCUACCCCAUUAGUUUCCUUUUAUUUAACAGAAAUGGUCCCAAUAUGUUUUCGUACUAUUCGAAAUUGAAUAAAUCUGGCCUCCGUUGAUUUUUUGGCUCAUUAUAUUUUUAAUAUCGACUAUUUAAUUUCACAUAUAUUUUUCGUUUUAAUGAAUUAAUCGCUUAACACGUGUCAUAAUUCUAAGAAACCUGCAUGUCUCUAUGUGAAGCACAUAUUUGAUCCCACAUACAUAUUUUGAGAUCAAUUUAACCGCAUAUUACGUUCUUUCAUCAAUCAAAUAUUCGCACUUCAUUGAUCUGGUGUCUUUCAUAGAGUAAAGACGUUCCUUUCAAAAAAAAAUUCAUCUUUAAAUCGCGAUUAUGAAAUCUUUGAUUAACCAUUAGAUAUUUGUGUCUCAUCGAUUUGAUUACUCCAAAUUUGCAUCUAGCAACACCAAUCUUCGAGAGGUUUUAGUAUUAGUAUUAUUUUUUGGAUUUGAAUUCGAAAUUUUUGAUCAACCAUAUUUAAUUAUUUCGAUUAAUUUAAAUUUCUUUAUUCUUUAUAAAAAAAAUAACAGAAAUUUAGAAAUGGCUCAGAAUCCAAGACACUUGUAGUUGGAAUAUGUCAUACUAGUGGGAUGAACUUACUAUUUUUGUAAAGGUGUAGACUUGAAAAUAAAUCUAUUUUAAAUUAGAGAUAUCAAAUAUGAGUUUCUAAAACUGAAAAAAAAUCCUAUUGAAAGCACCACCGCCCUCAUAAAUGAACCCUAUAAUGCGAGAAUUCGAAUAUAAUCAAACAGAGACGGAGAAUACCAUUGUAUCAAUAACAAGGAAAAAGUAGCAAUUCAGUUUCAAAUGAUUUGACGAUCAAUUUUGAUUGAGGCAAUUCUUACUUGCUCGUUGCCAACUAAUCUAUCUCCUCGACUUACGAGCACGCCAUUCUUGAAACAGAUUUUCCAAUACAGGUACCGGACUUCGGAUGGAAAACAUUUUCACCAAAAAAGGAUUGUUUUGGUUUGGGGGGAACUUAUUACAUUUGUCAAGAGAUCAUAGUAAUGAAAGUUAAUUGGUUAAAUUACUUAAUUACAUAGGAUAUAGCUAAGUUGCUUGGACUCUUCAGAAAUGUUGCCGCACCCGUGUCGGAUCCUUCAAAAAUACACUAUUUUUGGAAUAUCCGACAUGCACCGGCAGACAUUUUUGAAGAGUCCGAGCAACUUAGGGAUAUAGUUAAUCACUCAUGAUAAAACUUUCAACAGCUGCACUUCAAAAAUUAGAGGCUCCUUCAUGUGAGACAUAAGGCUACGUCUUGGUCCAAACUGCAAGAAAACAAUAUCAGAUGAACCAACUCGACGACGACAACAACAACAUAAGGGUGUAAUCGUAAAAGUGGGGUCUGGAGCAGAUAGGAUAUACGAUGACUUUACCCCUACCUUUGUCGAGUAGAGAGGUUGUUUCCAAUAAACCAACAACAACGACGACGACAUACCCAGUGUAUUCCCGCAAAGUAGGGCCUCGAGAGGGUGAGAGGGUGAAGUGUACGCAGUCCAUACCACUACCUCAUAUGAGGUAGAGAGGUUGUCUCCGAUAGACUCCCGGCUCAAGACAUAUAACAAAUGUGUGAACAGAGCAGGAUUGAAAGGAAAAUAACGACAGAGAAAUAGCAAGAUAAACAAAGCAAUGGAAGCAACGUAUAAUAGUAAAAAUGAAAAUUAAGAUACUAUGUAAAUACUAAGGAGAGGAGACUAGCCACCUUCCUCUCCUACAUAAAUGUACGAAAGCACUCGCCUAACUUCUACCGUAAUUCUCGAUCUCCAUACCUUCCUAACUAAGUUCAUGUCCACAGUAAAUCGAAGAUACCCGAUGUCGUGUCUAAUAACCUUUCCCAGUUCUUUUUCGGCCACCUCUACCUCUCCUAAAACCUGCUAUAACUAUCCUCUCUCACACCUCGUUACUGGUGCAUCGCACAUCAACUAAAGAAUCAUAAGAGGAACCUGAAUUCCUUGCGAAAUCCGCUUUACAAUUAACCAGCCAAAGUUACAUCCAAAGAGUUACUCAUAGAAUCAGUUAGUUGGGAGACGAGUGUAGGAUAACUGCUACCAAAAGUAGAUUAAAUGAUAAUAUCCGCAAAACACAUACCUCUUCAGGUACUGGCUGUAGAUUCUCGUUGAUGUAUCCAACGGAAGGCGGUAUCAGUGCUCUUCUUUUUCCUGCAAUACAGGACUUACAGUUCAAAUACCUAGAACUGUAUACAUUGAAAAACAGAAACUAUUUCUUUUAAGAGCGUAGGAACAACCUCCGGGCUUCAUUCCGAUAAGGACUUCUUUCAGACCCUCUAUUAUCUGCAGAGAUUCAAGAAGACUUGUAAGACGAACAAAAAUCAGCUAAUUAUCAACUAUGCCCUCACCCCCACCCCUCACACAAUAACACAUGGAAAGAAGAGGGACCAUUGCAGUUAUAGGAGGUGGCUUACUACAGUGAGACGACAUAGACAACCCAGACAUCCUUAACCUCGCCAGUCUUGACGGCAUGGAGGGUAAUGCAGUUACUAUAGGAGGUGAUCCAUACUAGUGGGAAGACAUAAGCAAUGUCAGAAUGGUCCGCGAAAUACAUCUUUAACCUCACAAUUUCAAGGCAGGGUAAUGUUGGCAUCUGAAAAAGACUGAAACAUAUAAUGUUGCUCGGCGAGACAACGGCUUCUCCUGGCCGUUAUUCUUCUUAGUACUAAGUUUCUCUUCUUUUUAUGUGUAGGACCAAAUAUGUACCGAGAUUCUCUAGCAUGUUGCUUCGGAACAACAAUACAUUUUUUCUCACGCUAACAAAACUUGUCUAGGAUCUACCUGUUAACCUUGUUUGAUGAACUAUGUGGCACUAUUGGACCACAAGCACUAUAUAUCUCCCAUUUUAAAGGCACAAAAGACGUCGACAUGCAAUAGACCUUCCGGUGAUGCCACUUAAUGGAAGUCAGAAGGUUGCUGUCUGACCUUUAGAAUUUCUAUUUUAAGCCCAAAGCUAGCAAAUACCAUGACCUGUUUAUCAUCCAGAGGAAGUAUGACAGGAGCACUCUCUCCGCUGAAUUGGUCCACCGUACUACAUUGAAGCAAAACAAAAAAGUUCAAUGUAUAUUCCACAGAACAGAAGAAAGUAUGAUGUGGAUUUACUGAUUAAGAAGCAUCUGGAAGAGCGAACAUAAACUGAUGUUCUCUCCUUUUUCUAUAUUUUUCAUUCAGCAACCGUAUAAUUUUCUUUCUUAAGUUGAUUUUUGUUUAAAGCAGUACCUGUGGACAAAAUAUCCAUUUGAUCGUCGGCAGACAUAAUUAAUUUCAACGACAUCCCCUUCAUGAGCCUCUGGUCCUUCCCCUUCAACAAUAUCUGCAGAAGACCCAACAGAUCGUUAAUACCUUUAAAUGAACAAGAAUGACAUGGAGAGCUUGAUGUGCUCCCUUCCAAUCAUAAUGUUUUUAUGCUUGUGAUGACAUCAAUGACGAAAUGGAACAUAAAACUGUAAGGAAGGAGAUCAUUUAUUAUAAACAUCAACUGCUUUUCCUCUUAACUUUUUCAUUGGGUUAAAAUCUACAAUUUCCUAUCCUAAAUGCCCUAACUCGUAUGCAUGCACCAAACAUUGAACACAUGAAACUGCCGCAUGCCAAACAUAGAAGCAAGUUAUACAUGUUCCAUUCAAUUAUAACAACUUGAGCUCGACCUAUUAAAUGUUCGAAAGAGUCUGGAAAAAAGCUCAACUGGACUGGGCUCAUGUAAAAUUAACCCUGACUUGUUUUUUCAAUUAAGAAAAACAAACCAGAUGAUUUACUUCGACUAUUAACCGAAUCAAGCUCGUUAAAACUUGUCUUGAUUAGUAUAAUGUUCACGAAUAUAUUGAACAUAGGUGCAUCUCUUGGCAUAACUCUGUCUAUCUAUAUGAAGUAUAGAUAAUUUAAAACUUCGAUUCAGAGAACAGGUUGAGUAUAUUUAUCGUACGACCUUAAAAAGGGUUAUACCUUGUAGCCUCACUCCACUAUCAAGCUUUAAGGUCCUGAAUGCUUCAAAUCCAAAUUAACAACAGCAUUAAAACAAUGACUGAGUUUAUCUAGACUAGAUAAACAAUUAAACCGUGGAGGUAAGCAACCGAACCAAAAGCAGAAAAGAAACGGAAACAACAUUUACCGGAUAAUAUCAGGUUCUCUCAUCUCCUGCAUUGGUGCAGAUGAGACAGGAGAAAUGCUUAUGACGAUGGGACUCAGUCCAACAAACUGCAGAACUGACCUCCUCAGCAACUUUUUGACAUUUAGGGAUGGCAUCCUUUCAUCUGAGCUUUUAGGCACAGUAAUCUUACAUUGUUCACCGUUCUUAAAGCUGUUUGCAUAAACAAAUUAUAAAUUACAAGUAGGAUUAAGCAUAUGACAAUUUAGGAUUGAGGCAUAGCAGUUUUUGUUGUUGAUUAAGCAGAAAAACACUUCUAAUCUUCUUAUUCUUUCUUUGUCAUCUUUCGUUUUUUACUCUCGAAUGUAAUAAAUUCCAUUCAUCCAUAACUGGACAAACUUGCAGUUUAUAAAGUAAAACAAUAGCCUUUAUGAACAUAAAACAGCCAAGGCGGAAUUCAAGUCAGCGCACAUAGUAUCUUUAACCACUCCCCGUUCCCAAUAGUAGAUGUAAUUUUGAUAUCUUACAUUGCACGGUAUAUCCAAAUCUGUUUGCAUAAACAAGUUACAAAUUACAAGUAUGAUGAAGCAGCUGACAUUUCUUAUAUUCUUCUUUAUUUGUUAUGUUCUGCAUUUUCUCUCUAACGUCAAAAUUUCCAUUCAUCCAUAAACCAGACCAUCUUAUUUUUAAUGGUAAUAGGCAGUAAAAAGAGGCAAUACAGAAGAAUGUAAACAAUAAAACGAGUCAAAGUAGGUUGUCUCAAACUGUCGCACUCAAUUUUGUUGCAUCAUGUAAUUUAACCAAUUCAAUUGUUUGCUUGUUUAAUUAGACGGUGAAUGUGCAAGUUCACCCUUUGCUAAUUAGGACUAAUACUCGUGGAGGGAAAUACCAAAAAUAGGAACAAGGCUACAUAUUUUUAGAAAUGAGCGGAACUCUACUAACUAAGCUAUAUCCACCACGCCAAGUGGAGCAUGAAUAAAGUAGACAAAUGCUUUUUCGAUUCAGGAACAAGUGUUGAAUAACCUAUCUUUAUCGAAAGACAUCUAUGUAAUCUAGCGGACCAUGGAAUGUAUUAUCGAUGUUAAGAAAACCAAAACUAAAAAGUGCCGUGGUUACAUCCCAUAAACCAGACCAUUUCGCAUCAAGUUUAAAAAAACUAGGAUCUAACCAUUGAUACAUAACAUAAUUUUAUCUAUGCAAAUCAUUCCAUUAGAGAAAUUCAUUAUGACACAAAGCAUUAUUAACAACAAGAAGUUCAAGCAAUAAGUUAGGAUCACCAUGGCGGAGCUAGUGGGCUCUUCGCCGAAAAAUUACAUUGUAUACAUAAGAUCAAAUUACUACAACAACAAAAAACCCAAUGUAGCCCCACAACUAGGUUCUAGGGAGAGUAGUUUGUACGUAGACCGAGCCGAGACCCUCGGCUCGAUUAAUGGACAAAAUGAAUCUGGGUCUAACUCAACCAAAAAACUAGCUCAGGAGGGAGGAUUGUCCAAGUGCAUAAUAAGGAGACAAGUUACUCAUCCUUUUUCCGAUGUGUGACUCUCAACGAGUAAAGCAUAACAAAAAUAGUAAGAAAAGGAAAAAAAGUAGUAUAGAAGCCACAAGUAAUAAUAGAAUAAUGGAAUCGAACUAUUGAAAAUGGCUCCUCUAUGUCAUUCGUUAUAAGUUUAGCUUAUCUAUAUCAUCAACUUUAAAAGUCUGGCUUAUCUAUGCCACUACUGUUACAGAAAAGUUCAUAUGUGUCAUUAUUUUGCAAUGGUGAUUUUGCAAAACCAUUUUUGCCAUGUGGCCUCUUACUAGAAGUCCACGUCACCAAAUCUAAAUCAACAAAUAUUACUUAAAUCAAAAUAAAAAAUCAUACCCAUUAAAAUAAAACCUGACACAAUCAAUGAGUUUCUCCAAUUUUUAUUUUAACUAUGUGGAUCAAAUUUUAUUUUAAUGGAUCCAAUUUUUAAUUUUUUAUUUUAAUGUAAUAUUGAUUGAUUUGGAUUUGGUAACGUGGACCUCCAAUAAGAGGCAACGUGACAAAAAUGGUUCUGCAAAAAUCACCAUUCUAAAAUAAUGGCACGAAUGAACCUUUCCGUAACGACAGCGGCAUAGAUGAGCCAAACUUUCACUGACAGUGGCAUAAAUGAGUCAAUCUUAAAACCGAUGACAUAGAUGAGCCAUUCCUAAUAGUUCGAUGGCAUAUUUGAGCCUUUCCGUAACAACAGUGCACAUAGAUGAGUCAAACUUUCAAUGACACUGGCAUAGAUGAUCCAAACUUGCAACAAAUGUCAUAAAUGAGUUAUUUCUAAUAGUUCGAUGACAUACUUGAGCUUUUUACUGAAUAACAACAACAACAAGAAGUAAACUAGCAUUUAUUUAACUAGACAUUACUCGAUUAUCUACUAAAUUUCAAUCUUAAUCAUUUGCCUCCAUAUACUACUUCCUAUCAAGAGUCAUGUUCUCACUAAGUGCAAAUUAAAUCAAUCGAAAGCUUGAAGAGAAUGCUUGUUAAUUACCAUGGGAUUUUGGAAGCGAAGCAAUGUCUGGUGAAUAAUAGUAUAGAUGAUCCAAACUUAUAACGACUGGCAUAUAUAAGUCAUUUCUAAAAGUUUGAUGGAUGGCAUAAUUGAGCCUUUUGCUGAAUAAUAAUAAUAACAACAACAACAACAGGUAAACUAGAAUUUAUUUAACUAAACAUUACUCGACUAUGUACGAAAUUUCAAUCUCAAUCCUUUGCCUCCAUAUACUACUACUAUCUAGAGUCGUGUUCUAAGUAAGAGCAAAUUAAAGCAAUCGAAGCUUGACGACUACUACUCUAUAACGUAUAGCAUAGAUGAGCCAAACUUGACAUAUAGCAUAGAUGAGUCAUUUCUAAUAGCUCGGCCACAUAUUUGAACCUUUUGAUGUAUAAUUACAACAAUAACAACAAGUAAACUAGCAUUUUUUUAACUAAACAUUACUCGACUGCCUACUAAAUUUCAACCUUAAUCCUUUGCCUCCAUGUACUACACUUAUCUAGAGUCAUGUUCUCGGUAAGAGCAAAUUAAAGCAAUCGAAGCUUGGUGAGUACUACUCUAUAGCGUAUAGCAUAGAUGAACCAAACUUGACGCAUAGCAUAGAUGAGUCAUUUCUAACAGUUCGACCACAUAUUUGAGCCUUUUGAUGAAUAAUAAUAACAACAACAAGUCAACUAGCAUUUAUUUAACUAGACAUUACUCGACUACCUACUAAAUUUCAAUCUCAAUCCUUUGCCUCCAUAUACUACUUACUAUCAAGAGUUGUGUUCUCGAUAAGUGCAAAUAAAUCAAUCGAAGCUUGGCGAGUACUACUUUAUAACGUAUAGCAUAGAUGAGUCAUUUCUAACAGUUCGACCACGUAUUUGAUGAGUCAUUUCUAACAGUUCGACCACAUAUUUGAACCUUUUGAUGAAUAAUAAUAACAACAACAACAACAACAAACCCAGUGUAUUCCCACCUAGUGGGGUCUGGGGGGGUAAGAUGUACGCAGUCCAUACCUCUACCUCUGAUGAAGUAGAAAGGCUGUUUCCGAUAGACCCCCGGCUCAAGGCACGAGAUACCACACAAACACAUAGUGCAGCACAGAAGCAGAUUACAUAACAUAAAUACGGCACCCAUAAGUAAUAUAAAGCAGAGGAAAGCAGGGGAAAGCACACAGAUUCGUAAUACAACAUGGAACACGGAACACGGAAUCAUGAUGAAUAAUAAUAACAACAAGAAGAAUUCAACUAGCAUUUAUUUAACUAGACAUUACUCGACUACCUACUAAAUUUCAAUCUUAAUCCUUGACCUCCAUAUACUACUACUAUCUAGAGUCGUGUUCACGGUAAGAGCAAAUUAAAUCAAUCAAAGCUUGACAAGUACUACUCUAUAACGUAUAGCAUAGAUGAACCAAACUUAAAACGACGGGCAUAAAUGAGUUAUUUCUAAUAGUUCGAUGACAUAUUUGAGCCUUUUGUUGAAUAAUAAUAAUAACAACAACAACAACAAGUAAACUAGCAUUUAUUUAACUAGACAUUGUUCGACUACCUACUAAAUUUCAAUCUCAAUCCUUUGCCUCCAUGUACUACUUACUAUCUAGACUCAUGUUCUCGGUAAGAGCAAAUUAAAGCAAUCGAAGCUUGACGAGUAUUACUCUAUAACGUAUAGCAUAGAUGAACCAAACUAAUAACGACUGGCAUAAAUGAGUCAUUUCUAAUAGUUCGACCACAUAUUUGAGCCUUUUGAUGAAUAAUAAUAACAACAACAAGAAGUCAACUAGCAUUUAUUUAACUAGACAUUGCUCGACUACUUACUAAAUUUCAAUCUCAAUCCUUUGCCUCCAUAUACUACUUACUAUCUAGACACAUGUUCUCGGUCAGAGAAAAUUAAAGCAAUCGAAGCUUGACGAAAACUACUCUAUAACGUAUAGCAUAGAUGAGACAAACUUGAAGUAUAGCAUAGAUGAGUCGUUUCUAACAAUUCGACCAUAUAUUUGAAACUUUUGAUGAAUAAUAAUAACAACAACAACAACAAGUAAACUAGCAUUUAUUUAACUAGACAUUACUCGACUACCUACUAAAUUUCAAUCUCAAUCCUUUGCCUCCAUGUACUACUUACUAUCUAGACUCAUGUUCUCGGUAAGAGCAAAUUAAAGCAAUCGAAGCUUGACGAGUAUUACUCUAUAACGUAUAGCAUAGAUGAACCAAACUAAUAACGACUGGCAUAAAUGAGUCAUUUCUAAUAGUUCGACCACAAAUUUGAGCUUUUGAUGAAUAAUAAUAACAACAACAAGAAGUCAACGAGCAUUUAUUUAACUAGACAUUGCUCGACUACUUACUAAAUUUCAAUCUCAAUCCUUUGCCUCCAUAUACUACUUACUAUCAAGAGUCGUGUUCUCGAUAAGUGCAAAUUAAAUCAAUCGAAGCUUGGCGAGUACUACUCUAUAACGUAUAGCAUAGAUGAGUCAUUUCUAACAGUUCGACCACAUAUUUGAUGAGUCAUUUCUAAUAGUUCGACCACAUAUUUGAACCUUUUGAUGAAUAAUAAUAAUAACAACAACAACAACAAGUAAACUAGCAUUUAUUUAACUAGACAUUGUUCGACUACCUACUAAAUUUCAAUCUCAAUCCUUUCCCUCCGUCUACUACUUACUAUCUAGACUCAUGUUCUCGGUAAGAGCAAAUUAAAGCAAUCGAAGCUUGACGAGUACUACUCUAUAACCUAUAGCAUAGAUGAGCCAAACUUGACGUACAGCAUAGAUGAGUCAUUUCUAACAGUUCGACCACAUAUUUGAACCUUUUGGUGAAUAAUAAUAAGAACAACAACAAGUAAACUAGCAUUUAUUUAACUAGACAUUGUUCGACUACCUAAUAAACUUCAACCUCAAUCCUUGACCUCCAUAUACUACUUACUAUCUAGAGUCGUGUUCUUAAUGAGUGCAAAUUAAAUCAAUCGAAGCUUGGCGAGUACUACUCUAUAACGUAGAGCAUAGAUGAUCCAAACUUAUAACGACUGGCAUAGAUGAGUCAUUUCUACUAGUUCGCUGGCAUAUUUGAGCCUUUUGCUGAAUAAUAACAACAACAACAACAACAACAAGUAAACUAGCAUUUAUUUAACUAGACAUUACUCGACUACCUACUAAAUUUCAAUCUUAAUCCUUGACCUCCGUAUACUACUUACUAUCUAGAGUCGUGUUCUCGAUAAGUGCAAAUUAAAUCAAUCGAAGCUUGACGAGUACUACUCUAUAACGUAUUGCAUAGAUGAGUCAUUUCUAACAGUUCGACCACAUAUUUGAACCUUUUGAUGAAUAAUAAUAAUAACAACAACAACAACAAGUAUACUAGCAUUUAUUUAACUAGACAUUGUUCGACUACCUUCUAAAUUUCAAUCUUAAUCCUUGACCUCCAUAUACUACUUACUAUCUAGAGUCGUGUUCUCGAUAAGUGCAAAUUAAAUCAAUCGAAGCUUGGCGAGUACUACUCUAUAACGUAUAGCAUAGAUGAACCAAACUUAUAACGACUGGCAUAGAUGAGUCAUUUCUACUAGUUCGCUAGCAUAUUUGAGCCUUUUGCUGAAUAAUAAUAAUAACAACAACAACAACAAGUGUACUAGCAUUUAUUUAACUAGACAUUGUUCGACUACCUACUAAAUUUCAAUCUUAAUCCUUGACCUCCGUAUACUACUUACUAUCUAGAGUCAUGUUCUCGAUAAGUGCAAAUUAAAUCAAUCGAAGCUUGGCGAGUACUACUCUAUAACGUAUAGCAUAGAUGAACCAAACUUAUAACGACUGGCAUAGAUGAGUCAUUUCAACUAGUUCGCUAGCAUAUUUGAGCCUUUUGCUGAAUAAUAACAACAACAACAAGUAAACUAGCAUUUAUUUAACUAGACAUUUUUCGACAACCUACUAAAUUUCAAUCUCAAUCCUUUGCCUCCAUAUACUACUUACUAUCUAGACUCAUGUUCUCGGUAAGAGCAAAUUAAAUCAAUCGAAGUUUGGCGAGUACUACUCUAUAACGUAAAGCAUAGAUGAGCCAAACUUGACGUAUAGCAUAGAUGAGUCAUUUCUAACAGUUCGACCACAUAUUUGAACCUUUUGAUGAAUAAUAAUAACAACAACAAGUAAACUAGCAUUUAUUUAACUAGACAUUAAUCGACUACCUACUAAAUUUCAACCUCAAUCCUUGACCUCCAUAUACAACUUACUAUCUAGAGUCGUGUUCUCAGUAAGCGCAAAUUAAAUCAAUCAAAAGCUUGAAGAGAAUGCUUGUUAAUUACCAUGGAAUUUGGGAAGCAAAGCAAUAUCUGAAUCCAAAUUGCGGAGCUGCCAGUGCCAUUGUUGUCGAUGAAGGGGACCAAUUUUGAACACUUCAAAAGUUGUGGGGAAUUUUUUGCUGAAUUUUUUUUUUUGGAGGGAAAGUGGAAGAAAAGGUGGAAAAUGUAUUGUGGGAGAAGAAGAGAUAAUGACAAAAUGGUAACUUAUGUUUGGAUAAGAGUGUAAAAUAGUCCCCUAAACUUAUUUUUUAGCAUUUUAGAGUACCUUAAUUUGUUAAUGUGAGUAUUUUUAGUCAUUGUUAGAAUAUUUGUUAGUAUAUCGUAUUCCUCACAUGUGUUUUAUUCGUUUUGUUCGUUUUUUCAAUAAAUUUUGUUUGUUGGCAAAUCGCAUUCCACAUGCGCCGUUUUAUUCAUUUUGUUCAUUUUAUCGAUAAAUUUUAAUAUUUGUUAGCAAUUGCGUUUUGUUCGUUUUAUUUUUUAUAAAUUUUACUAUUUGUUAGUAAAUCGCGUUCCACAUAUGAGGUUUAUUCGUUUUAUCGAUAAAUUUUAUCUGUUAGUAAAGCUGAGGGUUGGGUCUUGGAAUAUAGGGACCCUUCAGGGGAAGUCCAUAGAGCUGGUGAAGAUUCUUAGGAAGAGAAGGAUCAACCUUGCGUGUGUCCAAGAGACCAAGUGGGUAGGGUCUAAGGCUAGGGAUGUGGACGGUUACAAGCUGUGGUACUCUGGGAGCGACAGGCGUAGGAAUGGAGUUGGCAUCUUGGUAGAUGAAGAGCUUAGAGGUCAGGUAGUGGAGGUGAAGAGGAUCAACGAUAGGUUGAUGACUAUCAAGUUGGUCAUUCGGGGGUUUACCCUGAACGUGUGUAGUGCCUAUGCGCCGCAUGUGGGAUCGGAGGGGGAGGAGAAGAUGCGGUUCUGGGAGGCCUUGGAGGACGUGGUGAGAGGCGUGCCCAGUUCGGAGAAGAUUGUGGUAGCAGGGGAUUUCAACGGGCACAUCGGGGCGCUACCGGGAGGCUUUGGGGAUGUGCAUGGAGGUUUUGGUUUUGGGGAGAGAAAUGAAGAGGGGGCGACCCUAUUGGAGUUUGCGAGGGCGUUUGGGCUGGUGGUGGUGAACUCGGGCUUCCCGAAGAAGGACGACCACCUGAUCACUUUUCGGAGCGCGGUAGCCAGGACCCAGAUUGACUUCUUGUUGCUUAGGAAAGGGGAUAGGGCGCUGUGUAAAGAUUGUAAAGUCAUCCCGAGUGAGAACCUUUCGACCCAACAUAGGCUCUUGGUUAUGGAUUUGGGUAUGAAGAAGAAUAAAAAGAGGAGGAGUAAGGAGUGUAGACCGAGAAUUAAGUGGGGCGGUUUGACGCCAGUGAAUGCGUGGGAGAUAGGGGAGAGGUUGGCGGGAAUGGGGGUGUGGGAGUGUAGGGGGGACGUGGAUAAUAUGUGGGACAGGGCGGCAGCGUGCAUCAGGGAAAAUGCAAGGGAGGUGUUGGGUGUUUCUAGGGGCCGGGCCGGACAUCAUCGGGGGGAUUGGUGGUGGAAUGAAGAGGUGGGGAAGAAAGUGGAGACCAAGAAAGAGUCGUAUGCUAAGUUGGUGGAAAGUAAGGACGAAGAGGAGAAGCGGGUAAACAGGAAAGAGUACAAGCUAGCAAGGAAGGAGGCGAAGUCAGCGGUCACGGCAGCUAAGACGGCUGCUUUUGAGAGCUUGUAUGCAGGGUUACAGGGGAAAGGAGGGGAGAAAAAGUUGUUCCGACUCGCUAAGGCUAGGGAGAGGAAGGGUCGUGACCUCGAUCAGGUGCGGUGCAUUAAGGGGGAGGACGGUAGAGUGUUGGUGGAGGACGGCCACAUAAAGAAGAGAUGGCAGUCGUACUUUCAUAGGCUCUUGAAUGACGAGGGGGACAGAGCUAUUGUGUUAGGGGAACUGGAGCACUCAGGGGAGUGUCGGGAUUUUAGCUAUUGUAGACGUUUUAAGGUAGACGAGGUUAGACAGGCAGUCCGCAGGAUGCGAAGGGGUAGGGCGACGGGGCCGGAUGAGAUACCGGUGGAGUUUUGGAAGUUCGUUGGAGAGGCUGGUGUAAGGUGGUUGACUGCAUUGUUCAAUGAAAUUUUCAGGACAGCAAAGAUGCCCGAGGCGUGGAGGUGGAGUACCAUGAUCCCCCUCUAUAAGAAUAAGGGGGACAUUCAGUGUUGCAAUAACUAUAGGGGGAUUAAGUUACUGAGUCACUCUAUGAAGAUCUGGGAGAGAGUGGUCGAGGUGAGGCUGAGACGGAUAGUGUCUAUCUCGGAAAACCAGUUCGGAUUUAUGCCCGGCCGCUCGACGACGGAGGCAAUUCACCUGGUACGGCGGUUGGUGGAGCAAUAUAGGGAAAGGAAGAAGGAUUUGCACAUGGUGUUCAUCGACCUAGAAAAGGCGUACGACAAAGUCCCCAGGGAGGUGCUUUGGAGAUGCUUGGAGGUGAGUGGAGUACCGCAGGCAUAUAGCAGAGUAAUUAAGGAUAUGUAUGAGGGAGCGAAAACCCAGGUGAGGACGGCGGGAGGAGACUCAGAGCAUUUCACUGUCCUGACAGGAUUGCAUCAGGGAUCUACUCUUAGUCCCUUUUUGUUUGCGCUAGUAAUGGAUGUGUUAACGCGGCGUAUCCAAGGGGAGGUGCCGUGGUGUAUGCUUUUUGCAGACGAUGUAGUCCUGAUAGAUGAGACGCGAGGGGGUGUGAACGACAAAUUAGAGCUGUGGAGGCAAACUCUGGAGUCUAAAGGGUUCAGGGUGAGCAGAACCAAGACAGAGUAUGUGGAAUGUAAGUUUAAUGACGUAAGGCGAGAGAAUGAGGUAGUGGUGAGGCUAGAAGCGCAGGAGGUAAAGAAAAGGGAUAAGUUCAAGUACCUCGGGUCCGUGAUCCAGAGUAACGGUGAGAUUGACGAGGAUGUCUCGCACCGUAUCGGGGCGGGAUGGAUGAAGUGGAAACUUGCAUCGGGGGUGCUGUGUGAUAAGAAGGUGCCGCCCAAGCUUAAAGGUAAAUUCUAUAGGGUGGUAGUCCGUCCGGCCUUGCUGUAUGGAGCGGAGUGUUGGCCAGUUAAGAACUCCCACACCCAAAGAAUGAAGGUGGCAGAAAUGCGGAUGUUGCGCUGGAUGUGUGGACUGACCCGAAGGGAUAGAGCUCGGAAUGAGACUAUCCGGGAGAAGGUUGGGGUGACUUCAGUGGAGUGUAAGAUGCGGGAAGCACGAUUGAGAUGGUUCGGACACGUGAAGAGGAGGGGCAUGGAUGCCCCGGUCCGUAGGUGUGAGAGGCUAGCGUUGGAUGGUUUUAGACGGGGUAGGGGUAGACCGAAGAAGUACUGGGGUGAGGUGAUUAGGCGGGACAUGGAACAGUUACAGCUUACCGAGGACAUGACCCUAGAUAGGAAGGUCUGGAAGACGCGAAUUACGGCAGAGGAUUAGGGCCUGUUCGGGUCGCUAAUGUAGGGAGGUAAUUGGUGGGGGGGUAUUCCGGGUAUGAUUCCGUAUUCAAUGUUCUGUUCCGUGUUCCGUGUUCUAUGUUUGUUACGAAUCUGUGUGCUUUCCUCUGCUUUAUAUUCCUGCAUUCCUNNNNNNNNNNNNNNNNNNNNNNNNNNNNNNNUGUUUUAUAUUCCUUAUGGCUGCAGUAUCUAUGUUAUGUCAUCUGCUUCUGUGCUGUACUAUGUGUUUGUUUGAUAUCUCGUAACUUGAGCCGGGGGUCUUUCGGAAACAGCCUUUCUACUUCAUCAGAGGUAGAGGUAUGGACUGCGUACAUCUUACCCCCCCCAGACCCCACAAAGUGGGAAUACACUGGGUUUGUUGUUGUUGUUGUAGUAAAGCGCAUUCUACAUGUGUAUUUUAUUCGUUUUUUAGAUAAAUUUUAUUUGUUAGUAAGUCACACACUUCUCGUAUGCGAGUUAUUCAUUUUGUUUCAUUUUCAGAGAAAUUUAAUUUUGUGUUGGCUUAUGACACCUCAUCUACCUCUUCGGGAUAAUGAUAAAUGCGUUAUACUUUAUCCUUCACAAAUUAUAUUUGUGAAAUUUUACUGGGGAUAUUGUUAUUGUUGUUGUUGUGUGUCACCAUGGCACUUAUGGAUCCUUUAAUGAGUAAUACACUAUUUAACAAGUUAUAUUAUAUUUGUUGGAUUUAAUAAAAAUAGUAUUAAUAGAAUAUAUUUAGGAGUUGUUUGGCCAUGGAUGUUUUUCACUUUAUUUCGAAUUAGUUCAAAUUUAUAUCAAGGUGUUCAACUACAUAAGCCAUUAUAAUGUUCAUCGAUCUAGAAAAAAAAAGAUACGACAAAGCCCAGUAUGUUAUAUGCAAAUGUUUAGAGGCUAUAGUUGUUGGCCUUAGUGAUAGAUGGAUUGACGCGAUGACUUCAAGAUAAGGCAUCAUAGUGUAUGUUAUUUACGGAUAACAUAAUCCUGGUUGACGAGACACACGACAAAAGACAGCACUAAGUUAGAGUUAAGAGAACAACCUAUAUAUAUUAUAAGUUAGAAAUAAAAUAUGCGUACAUUUUAUCCUCCCCAGUUUCACUUGUGAAACUACACUAAACAUAUAUGUUAUUAUGAGUAUUGUAUUUCGAUUUUAGUCCAACAAACCAAAUAUAUCCUAAUAAUUCAACCAACAAUGUAAUUUUUUGUGUCAGAAUUCUAUCAUUAUGAUCUUGGGAUAACUUAUUUACAACCAAACGCCCCCUAGUUGAAUUGCACCCUCCAACGUUGUUUGUGGCCAAUAAGAGAUUGCCACUUGUUCCAUAGUCGUUGGAAAGCAACUAGUCCACUAGCGCGUGUCAAGCUCACAUUUCUCUGUUAGCGCAUAUUUUCUAUCCCGAUUGGUCUCAAACGCCUUCACUGGUGCCUGAGUGAGCAUCAGUUCUUCGACAUUGUCCUCGAAAUGGUGCCACCGGGGACCGACUUCGCUCAUGCCCACCACAAGGUGACCCAAUUAGUCCAAAUUUAUCCUAAGCUCUUUUCACGCCGUACACCAUCAUCAUAGUCUCAGGAUAACUUACCAGGGCAAAUAACAUAAAUUCUGACAGUUUGAAAUUUAAUUACAAAAAAAUCCAACGUUUUGCAUAACUACUGAAAAUUUCGAUUCGGGAUUUGUCGAGAUACCCCGAUACAUCUAAUGAAAAUACAUUUUUAUAUAAAGAUACAUGACUAGAUCCCGACAUCUAAUGAAAAUAUAUUUUUUUCUUUAUAAAGAUAUAUAAUUAGCUCUCAAUAUAUUUUUACUGAUUUUGAUCUGUCUAGAUACAUAAUACAUCAAACAAAACUACAUUUUUUCCUUGUAAAAGAUACAUAUUCAUCUCUCGAUACAUUUUUUUUCGAUUUUGGAUCAGUCGAGAUACAUAAUUAAUUUCCAAUACAUCAAACGAAGAUAUAUAAUUAGUUAAGAUCUGUAUAACCACUUUAUAAAGGUAAGAAUUAUGUAAAUAUGUUUAUAUUAUUUUGGGAAAAUGCUCUUUUCCACCCUGAACUAUAUACGAAAUUGCUUAAACACACCUAAAUUUUAGGAGAGUCCUAUUACCCCUGGACUAAUUAAAAUCUUUUUGUGAUAAUUUUAGUGCCUACAUGGUGCAUACGUGGCACAUCAGUGAAUCAACACAUUGAAGGUCCACGUAGGCCCUAAAGUUGCAAAAAAUACAAUUUUAAUUAGUCUAGAGGUAAUAGGACCCUCCUAAAAUUCGAAUAUAUCUCAGCAAUUUCGUGUAUAAUUUACGGUGAAAACAAUACAUUUUCUCUACAUUAUUUUUCCUAAACUUAUUUACAACCAAACGUCCCCUACAAUAAUUACACCCUCCAAAACCACAAAAUAAUAAUUAAAAAAAAAAAAAAAACGAAAAAACAGCAUCAGUCAAUUACAGACGAAUCAUCCAAAUAGUAACGAAAAACCCGGCCCACCACUUUAAUUUAAUUAAACUCCUAAUAAAAUUCCAACUAAUAAAAAAAAUAGAACAUUCUAGAAUUCCCAAACAAACCCCAGUAUAUAAACACCUUUAAGCCUCCCCAUUCAUCACUCGCACACCAAAGCUCUCUCUAUAUUCGUUUUGCUUUUUCUCUAACCCUAGUUUUCUUCUUCUUCGUUGAGAUCUGUAAUAAUGGCGGAUACAGAGACGUUUGCUUUUCAAGCUGAGAUUAACCAGCUAUUGAGUUUGAUUAUCAAUACUUUUUACAGUAACAAGGAGAUCUUUCUGAGGGAGCUUAUUAGCAAUUCUUCUGAUGUAAGUCAAUCUCUCUCUCUCUCUCUCUCUCUCUCUCUAUAUAUAUAUAUAUAUAUAUAUAUAUAUAUGUAUAUUUUAGCUGUUUUUUUUGUUCAUUGCCUCGAGAUUCGUGCACAAAUCUAUGCAGUAUUGAUUAUAUGUGGAUUCCAUGUAGCUGAUUUUCUGUUCAUAUGUUGGAAGCAUAAUUAUUUGUGAUUUAUUGCUUGUUUCUUGGCUGCAGAUUAUAUAUAGCUGAUGUUUUGCUCACAUGUUAGGAAGGAAGCAUGAUUAUUUAUGAUUUAUUGUUAGUUGUUUGAUUUAUCGUGAUUUAGUGUUACUACAAAGCCUGGAUACAUCUACUUUUGUAGUUAUGCCUCGAGAUUUGUGCGAGAAAUCUGUGUUGUACUGAUGUUUAGUUGAUUUUUUGUAUUUGUGAUUUAGUUUUAGUUGUUUUUAUAGCUGUAGUUGAUUUGAUUCUGCUCAUUGGUUAGAUGCAUGAUGCAUAGCUGCUGAGUUUUAUUAUUAAUGCUUUUUAUAGUAGUAAGGAGAUCUUUCUUCAUAUGAUUAUUAGCAAUUCUUCUGAUGUAAGUCGAUCUAUAUGCUAUUUGUUGAUUAUAUUAUCUGCAUUCGUAGUUAUACCUCGAGAUUUGUGCGAGAAAUCUGUGCAGUAUUGAUGUGUUAUUUGAUGUUUAGUUGUUUUAAUAGCUGUAGUUGAUUAUGCUCACUGGUUAGAUGCAUGAUGCAUAGAUGUUGUGUGUUAUUAUCAAUAUGUUUUAUAGUAACUAGGAGAUCUUUCUUCGGGAGCUUAUUAUUUGCAAUUUGUCGGAUGUAAGUUGAUCUAUAUAUAUUUGAGCUGUUUUUUUUCUCAUUGCCUCGAGAUUCAUGCUCAAAUCUAUACAGUAUUGAUGUGUUAUUUAAUGUUUAGUUGUUUGAUUGUGGAUUCUAUAUGGUUGAUUUUCUGCUAAUAUGUUGGAAGCAUGAUUGUUUGUGGUUUAGUUUUAGCUGUUUUUAUAAAGGACUUUCUCUGUAGUUGAUUCUGCUCAUAUCUGUGGUGUUGAUUGAGCUGUUUUUCAUUGCCUCGAGAUUUGUGCACAAAUCUAUGCAGUAUUGAUUAUUUGAGGGGAUUCUAUAUAGCUGUUCAUAUGUUAGGAAGCCAUAUAGUUAUUGUGAUUUAUUGCUAGUUUUUUGAUUGCAGAUUCUAUAUAGCUGAUUUUUUGCUCAUAUGUUAGGCAGCAUAUGAUUGUUUGUGAUCCAUAUAUAGCUUAUUUUCUGCUCAUAUGUUAGGAAGAAUAUGAUUGUUUGUGAUUUAUAUAUUGCUGAUUUUCUGCUCAUAUGUUAGGAAGCAUGAUUAUUUGUUGAUUUAUAUAGCUGAUUUUCUGCUCAUAUGUUAGGAAGUAUGUGAUUAUUUGUGAUUUAUAUAUUGCUGAUUUUCUGCUCAUAUGUUAAGAAGAAUAUGAUUAUUUGUGAUUUGAGGUUUGUUUUUUUUGAUUGCAGAGAAACUAUAUAGCUGAUUUUCUGAUCAUAAGUUAGGAAGCUUGUUAGUUUUUGUGAUUUAUUGUUAGUUUUUUGAUUGCAGAAUCUAUAUAGCUGAUUUUCUGCUCAUUUGUUAGGAAGCAUAUGAUUAUUUGUGAUGUAGUGUUAGUUUUUGGAUUGCAGAUUCUAUAUAGCUGAUUUUUCUGCUCAUAUGUUAGGAAGCAUGACUCUUUGUGAUUUAGUGUGAUUUGAUGUUCAGUUGUUUUGAUCUGGAUUCUCCGCAGCUGAUUCUCUGCCCAUAUGCAUUAUCCGAGAUACAGUGCUAGUUGUUUUGUAGCGGAUGUUUGCUCAUAGAUCAUAGAUGUGUGAUUGCCCUACGUAGUUGCUUCUCUGUGCAUAUGUUGGAAACAUGAUUAUUUGUUGAAAUUGAGUUAGUUACUUUUUUAUAGUGAAUGCCCGUUGAUAGGUUAGAUGUGUGGUUGCUCUAUGUAGUUGAUUCUCUGCUCCUAUGUUGGAAGCAUGAUUAUUUGUUGAAAUCUUGUUAGUUGUUUUUUAUACUGCAUGCCUGUUGAUAGGUUAGGUGCGUGAUUGUUUAUGAUUUGAUGUUAGUUAUUUGAUCACUGAUUCUGGUCAUAUGGAGUCAUGAUUAUUUGUGAUUUACUGGUAGGCUAGAUGUGUAUUGGCUUUGUGUGAUGUGAUGUGAUGUGAUCGGUUUGAUUGUGGAUUGUCUGUAGCUAAUUUUCUGCUCAUAUGUUGGAUGCAUGAAUAUUUCUGAUCUAGUUUUAGCUGUUUUUAUAGCAGAUGCUCUCUAUAGUUGAUUUUGCUAAUAUCUGCUAAUAGGUUAGAUGCAUGACUUUUUGUGAUUUGUUGUUAUAUGUUUGAUUGUGGAUUUUCUAUUGUUGAUUCUCUGCUCACAGGUUGGAUGUCCUCAGUAGUUGAUUGCUCAUAGGUUAGAUGUGCGAGUGUUUGUGAUUUGAUGCUAUUUGUUUGAUUGCUGAAGCCUUGUAUAAUUGAUUCUGCUUCUUUAAUCUUUAAUAGAUGUGAUUGUUUGUGAAUUAAUAGUUUGAUUGGAGAUGCUAUCCGUAGUUGAGUCUGGUCAUAUGUUGGAAGCAUGAUUAUUUGUUAUAUGUUAUUCAAUGAUAUGGUAUAGUCAUUCAUGGAUAAUAUUUUAAACAUAUGUGAUGUCUGAUUAUGUUAUGGCUUACAUAUUGUAGGCUUUGGACAAGAUUCGCUUUGAGAGCUUGACAGACAAGAGCAAGCUAGAUGCUCAACCUGAACUCUUUAUCCACAUUAUUCCUGACAAGACCAACAAUUCCUUGACUAUUGUGGACAGUGGUAUUGGGAUGACAAAGGCCGGUAAGUUGGAUCAGUUGUAGAAUUAGUUCACGUUUAAAUUGCAUUGCAAAAAUACUCAAACUCAUUUGUAUUGUUGCAGAUCUUGUGAACAACCUUGGUACAAUUGCAAGGUCAGGGACCAAGGAAUUCAUGGAAGCUAUAGCAGCCGGUGCCGAUGUUAGCAUGAUCGGGCAAUUUGGUGUUGGUUUCUAUUCAGCGUACUUGGUGGCUGAGAAGGUUAUUGUAACUACAAAGCACAAUGAUGAUGAACAGUAUGUGUGGGAGUCUCAAGCUGGUGGUUCAUUCACUGUCACCAGGGACACUUCUGGUGAGAGCCUUGGUAGGGGUACAAAAAUGACCUUGUAUCUCAAGGAGGAUCAGCUUGAAUAUCUCGAAGAGCGCAGGCUCAAGGACCUGAUUAAGAAGCACUCAGAAUUCAUCAGUUACCCAAUCUCUCUUUGGGUUGAGAAAACCACUGAAAAGGAGAUCUCUGACGAUGAGGAUGAGGAAGAGAAGAAAGAUGAGGAAGGGAAGGUAGAGGAGGUUGAUGAGGAAAAAGAGAAGGAAGAGAAGAAGAAAAAGAAAAUUAAGGAAGUAUCUAAUGAGUGGUCGUUGGUGAACAAGCAGAAGCCUAUUUGGAUGAGGAAGCCUGAGGAGAUCAACAAGGAUGAAUAUGCUGCAUUCUACAAGAGUCUGACAAAUGACUGGGAGGAACAUUUGGCUGUGAAGCACUUCUCUGUUGAGGGUCAGUUAGAGUUCAAAGCUGUCCUCUUUGUUCCAAAAAGGGCUCCUUUUGACCUUUUUGACACAAAAAAGAAGCCCAACAAUAUCAAGCU
Molecule: long non-coding RNA, 45185 nt
Filed under: Capsicum annuum
Lineage: Eukaryota; Viridiplantae; Streptophyta; Magnoliopsida; Solanales; Solanaceae
Description: long non-coding RNA (CANN_LNC015087)
Source: RNAcentral